Molecule: long non-coding RNA, 54860 nt
Filed under: Triticum aestivum (bread wheat)
Lineage: Eukaryota; Viridiplantae; Streptophyta; Magnoliopsida; Poales; Poaceae
Description: long non-coding RNA (TAES_LNC015017)
Source: RNAcentral
UUUUUUUUUUGGUUUUUUCUUAAGGUUUAUUAAACACACAAGAAAGAAGCAUAAAAGGAAAUAAACUAGCAUGGAUGAUGCAAUGAAAAAGUAUGAGCACCGACAUCUAGCAAUGAGUAUGUGUGAACAUAAAUGUAAUGUCGGUGAGAAAUACGUACUCCCCCAAGCUUAGGCUUUUGGCCUAAGUUGGUUUAUGGCCACGGCUGGCCUGGCUGAUAUCCAUAAUAAUAGUUGGGGUCGUACUGCGAUGAGGAAGAAGAAGGCUCCGAUUGCCACUGGCUGGCAAUCAUCUCCGGAUCCCACUGAUAGUUAGACUGUCGUGAAUGAUCAAAUUAUGGUUCUGGUUCUGGCUCCUCGGCUGGUGCAGGGUUCCGGUAGGCGUGGAUAGCCGUCAACGGAACAAGGUACGUGCCUACAGUCAAAUCAAACAAAGAAGGAGCAGGCAAGGUAAUAGUCUCAGAAUGAUGUUUAUUAAAGAACAAUUGAUAUUUAAGCUCUCCUGCCCUAUUCUUAACAAUAAGAUCAUGUGCCACCAUACUUUUAUAAUCUAAAUAAACACGAGGCAACACUUUUUCUUCCUUCUCAGCAUGCCGAAUAGGUAUGUUAAAAUGUGCAGCUAGGCGUGUAGCAUAGAUGCCUCCAAAGAUGGGACCCUUAGUACGGUUCAUACUUAACCGUCUAGCAAUAAUGCCGCCCAUACUAAAAGUGUUAUCACUGUAUAAACCUUGGAGCAAAAUAAUAAUAUCAGGGAUACUAAGGUUUCCACAGUUUCCGCGACUAAUUAAGAAACGACUAGCAAAUAAUGCAAAGUAGCGUAAGACAGGAAAAUGUAUGCUAGUGAUUCGUGCAUCGGAAACCUUCCUAGUUUCCCCUACAGUGAUAGUAUUAAUAUAUCCCUCCACAUCAUCACGAUGUGGUUCUUUUGUCUUGCCCUCAAAAGGGAAUAAACAAAUCCGACAAAAAUCAUAAAGUGACAUCUCCUUAUGCUCAUCAUAGAAAUGAAACUCCACCGUAGGUGGUGAGUUCCUAGAAUGAAAAUGAAAGUUUUGCACAAAGGUAUUUGUGAGUAAGAGAUACUGAUCGCAUUGGUCGUGGAGGAAAGCGGUGAGGCCUGCAUUAUGAGCCAACUCAUGAAAAUAUUCAUAAAUCCCGGUUGCUCUUAAGAAAUCCUCGGAAGGCCAUUCACACGCCCGAACCUCCGCGGUGCGCGGCAAAUUAUACUUAGGCUUUGGUGCCUUUUCCUUCGAGCUUUGGCUCGAUGAGCCCCUCAAUAAUCUCCUCAUCAUUUUCUGAAAAAUUCUGAAAUUUUUAGUAACGUCAAAAUAAAAGUAAACCAAACUCAAUAAUAUUGAUAGCAACUACUCCUACAAGUGCCUAGGGUCUAUAUCAUGCAUCAAAACUACUUUUGACCAUAUAAAUUUGACAUGCACGCUCAAGAACAGGGUCACCUAAGCAGAAAAAAUUUGCAAUGAAUAAAGCACUAGAACAAAAACUAAUUGGACCAAUGGAGGAGUCACAUACCAAGGAACAAUCUCCCCAAGCAGUUUUGCGAGAGGUGCUUUGAGCAAGGAGAUCGAAAAUGGCAGCAAAACGAGCUUGGACUCGGGUUUGAGCUGGUUUUUCGUGUUUGUGGGAGGAAGAAGAAGAGGAUGGGUGCAGGAAUAAGUGGAGGAGGGUCACCGUGGGCCCACGAGGCAGGGGGCGCGCCCUCCACCCUCGUGGCAAGGUGGUUGGCCCCCCUGGUGUGUUCUUUGUUCCAUAAAUCCUCAAAUAUUCUAUAAAAAAAUCAUAUUUAAUUUUCAGGGCAUUUGGAGAACUUUUUAUUUUCGAGAAAUUUUUAUAUUGCAUGGAUAAUCAGAUAACAGACAGAAAAAUAUUUAUGUUUAUUUUAUUUAAUAUAAAUAACAGAAAGAAUAGAGAGGGUACAGAAGGUUGUGCUUCUAGUUUCAUCCAUCUCAUGCUCGUCAAAAGGAAUCCACUAACAAGGUUGAUCAAGUCUUGUUAACAAACUCAUUCCGAUUAACAUGAAACCGGAGAAAUUUCGAAUAACACUAGGUUACCUCAACGGGGAUAUGCACAUCCCCAAUAAUAAGUAUAUCAUAUUUCUUCUUGACAGUAGGAAGAGGAAAUUCAAAACCUCCAAAUAUAAUCGAUGGAGUUUUUUCGAUAGAAUUGAUACUAUGAACUUGAGGUUGUUUCCUCGGAAAGUGUACCGUAUGCUCAUUACCAUUAGCAUGAAAAGUAACAUUGCCUUUGUUGCAAUCAAUAACAGCCCCUGCAGUAUUAAGAAAAGGUCUUCCAAGAAUAAUAGACAUACUAUUGUCCUCGGGAAUAUCAAGAAUAACAAAGUCCGUUAAAAUAGUAACGUUUGCAACCACAACAGGCACAUCCUCACAAAUACCGACAGGUAUAGUAGUUGAUUUAUCAGCCAUUUGCAAAGAUAUUUCAGUAGGUAUCAACUUAUUUAAGUCAAGUCUAUGAUAUAAAGAGAGAGGCAUAACACUAACACCGGCUCCAAGAUCACAUAAAGCAGUUUUAACAUAGUUUCUUUUAAUGGAGCAUGGUAUAGUAGGUACUCCUGGAUCUCCAAGUUUCUUUGGUAUUCCACCCUUAAAAGUAUAACUAGCAAGCAUGGUGGAAAUUUCAGCUUUUGGUAUCUUUCUUUUAUUUGUAACAAUAUCUUUCAUGUACUUAGAAUAAGGAUUCAUUUUGAGCAUAUCAGUCAAUCGCAUACGCAAAAAGAUAGGUCUAAUCAUUUCAGCAAAGCGCUCAAAAUCCUCAUCAUCCUUUUUCUUGGAUGGUUUGGGAGGAAAAGGCAUGGGUUUCUGAACCCAAGGCUCUCUUUCUUUACCAUGUUUCCUAGCAACAAAGUAUUUCUUAUCAUAACGUUGAUUCUUCGAUUGUGGGUUAUCAAGAUCAACAGCAGAUUCAAUUUCUACAUCAUUAUCAUUACUAGGUUGAGCAUCAUUAUGAACAUCAUCAUUAACAUUUUCAUUAGGUUCAUGUUCAUUGCCAGAUUGUGUUUCAGCAUCAGACAUAGAGAUAUCAUUUGGAUUAUCAGGUGGUUCAGCAAUAGGUUCACUAGAAGUUUGCACAAUUCUAUCAUUUUUCUUUUUCUCUUUUUAGAAGAACUAGGUGCAUCAAUAUUAUUUCUCUGAGAAUCUUGCUCAAUUCUCUUAGGGUGGCCUUCGGGAUACAAAGGUUCCUGAGUCAUUCUACCAGUUCUAGUAGCCACUUUAACAACAUAAUCAUUUUUCUUACUAUUCAUCUCAUUGAGCAAUUCUUUUUGAGCUUUAAGUACUUGUUCUACUUGAGUGGUAACCAUAGAAGCAUGUUCGCUAACAAGUUUAAGUUCACCUCUAAUAUUAGCCAUAUAAUCACCCAAGUAUUUAAUCAUAUUAGCAUCUUGUUUUAAUUGUCUACCAAAAUAAGCAUUGAAGUCUUCUUUCUUAAACAUAAAAUUAUCAAACUCAUCGAAGCAUUGACUAGCAAUUUUAGCAGGAGGGAUUUCAGCUUUAUCAUAUCUAUAGAGAGAAUUUACCUUUACUACCUGUGUUGGGUUAUCGAGGUCUGGAGGUUCUUCAAUAAAUAAAGGAUUAAGAUCGUAUGUUUCUUCAAUAGGCGGUAAAUUAAGACCAUGUAUUUCUUCAAUAGGAGGUAAAUUCUUAACAUCUUCAGCUUUAAUACCUUUUUAUUUCAUAGAUUUAUUUGCCUCUUGCAUAUCUUCGGGACUGAGAAAUAGAACACCUCUCUUCUUCGGAGUUGGUUUAGGAAUAGCAUCAUUAAUUGGAGCAGGAGUUGGCUCAGGAGCUGGCUUAGGAGGUGCCCAAUUAUUUUCAUUUGUCAACAUAUUAUUUAGUAAGAUUUCAGCUUCAUCCGGUGUUCUUUCCCUGAAAAGAGAACCAGCACAACUAUCCAGGUAAUCUCUGGAAGCAUCGGUUAGUCCAUUAUAAAAGAUAUCAAGUAUUUCAUUUUUCUUAAGAGGAUGAUCAGGCAAAGCAUUAAGUAACUUGCGAAGCCUCCCCCAAGCUUGUGGGAGACUCUCUUCUUUAAUUUGCACAAAGUUGUAUAUUUCCUUUAAAGCAGCUUGUUUAUUAUGAGCAGGGAAAUAUUUAGCAGAGAAGUAAUAAAUCAUAUCCUGGGGACUACGCACACAACCAGGAUCAAGAGAAUUAAACCAUAUCUUAGCAUCACCCUUUAAUGAGAACGGAAAUAUUUUAAGGAUAUAAAAGUAGAGAGAUCUCUCAUCAUUCGUGAACAGGGUGGCUAUAUCAUUUAAUUUAGUAGGAUGUGCCACAACAGUUUCAGAUUCAUAGCCAUGAAAAGGAUCAGAUUCAACCAAAGUAAUUAUAUCAGGAUCAACAGAGAAUUCAUAAUCCUUAUCAGUAACACAGAUAGGUGAAGUAGCAAAAGCAGGGUCAGAUAUCAUCCUAGCAUUUAGAGAUUGCUUAUUCCAUUUAGCUAAUAACCUUUUGAGUUCAUAUCUAUCUUUGCAAGCUAAUAUAGCUAAAGAAGCUUCUUGAUCAAAUAAAUAACCCUCGGGAAUAACAAGUGAUUCUUCAUCAUCACUUUCAUCAUCAUAAUCAGAUUCAAUAUUUUCAAUCUCUCUAGCCCUAGCAAGUCGUUCCUCAAGAAAAUCACUAAGUGGCAUAGUAGUAUCACGCAUAGAGGUAGUUUCAUCAUAAGUAUCAUGUAUAGCAGAAGUAGCAUCAUCAAUAACAUGCAACAUAUCAGAACGAAUAGCAGAAGCAGGUUUAGGUGUCGCAAGCUUACUCAUAACAGAAGGUGAAUCAAGUGCAGAGCUAGAUAGCAGUUCCUUACCUCCCCUCGUAGUUGAGGGAUAAAUUGUUGUCUUAGCGUCUUUCAAAUUCUUCAGAGUGUCCAGCAGAUAUAAAUCCAAAGUGACUCAAAGAAUAGAGCUAUGCUCCCCGGCAACGGCGCCAGAAAUUGGACUUGAUAACCCACAAGUAUAGGGGAUCGCAACAGCUUUCGAGGGUAGAGUAUUCAACCCAAAUUUAUUAAUUUGACACAAGGGGAGCCAAAGAAUAUUCUCAAGUAUUAGCAGCUGAGUUGUCAAUUCAACCACACCUGGAAACUUAGUAUCUGCAGCAAAGUGUUUAGUAGCAAAGUAAUAUGAUAGUGAUGGUAACGGUAACAAUAGAGUAAUGAAAGCAAAGUAAUAUUUUUGGUAUUAUGUAGUGAUUGUAACAAUAGCAACGGGAAAGUAAAUAAGCGUAAACCAGUAUAUGGAAAGCUCGUAGGCAUCGGAUCAAUGAUGGAUAAUUAUGCCGGAUGCGGUUCAUCAUGUAACAGUCAUAACAUAGGGUGACACAAAACUAGCUCCAAUUCGUCAAUGUAAUGUAGGCAUGUAUUCCGAAUAUAGUCAUACGUGCUUAUGGAAAAGAACUUGCAUGACAUCUUUUGUCCUACCCUCCCGUGGCAACGGGGUCCUAAUGGAAACUAAGGGAUAUUAAGGCCUCCUUUUAAUAGAGAACCGGAACAAAGCAUUAGCACAUAGUGAAUACAUGAACUCCUCAAACUACGGUCAUCACCGGUAAGUAUCCCGAUUAUUGUCACUUCGGGGUUAACGGAUCAUAACACAUAAUAUGUGACUAUAGACUUGCAAGAUAGGAUCAAGAACUCUCAUAUAUUAAUGAAAACAUAAUAGGUUCAGAUCUGAAAUCAUGGCACUCGGGCCCUAGUGACAAGCAUUAAGCAUAGCAAAGUCAUAGCAACAUCAAUCUCAGAACAUAGUGGAUACUAGGGAUCAAACCCUAACAAAACUAACUCGAUUACAUGAUAAAUCUCAUGCAACCCAUCACCGUCCAGCAAGCCUACGAUGGAAUUACUCACGCACGGCGGUGAGCAUCAUGAAAUUGGUGAUGGAGGAUGGUUGAUGAUGACGACGACGACGAAUCCCCCACUCUGGAGCCCCGAACGGACUCGAGAUCAGCCCUCCCGAGAGGUUUUAGGGCUUGGCGGCGGCUCCGUAUCGUAAAACACAAUGAUUUCUUCUCUCCUAUUUUUCUCCCCGAAAGCAGAUAUAUAGAGUUGGAGUUGGAGUCGGGGGGUCUCCAGGGGGCCCACGAGGUAGGGGGGCGCGCCCCCACCCUCGUGGCAAGGGUGUGGGCCCCCUGUUCUUCAUCUUUGGCAAGGAUUUUUUAUUAUUUAUUGUAAGAUAUUCUGUGGAGUUUCAGGUCAUUCUGAGAACUUUUGUUUUCUGCACAUAAAAACAACAUCAUGGCAAUUCUCCUGAAAACAGCGUCAGUCUGGGUUAGUUCCAUUCAAAUCAUACAAGUUAGAGUCCAAAACAAGGGGAAAAGUGUUUGGAAAAGUAGAUACGAUGGAGACGUAUCAGGCCACGAGGACCAUGAGCUUCUGGUGACGAAUAGACGAAAGAGAGAGAGAGAGCACGAGGGGAUAAGUGAGGAUUAGGGUUUGUCUAUGGGGUCGGGGGUCUCGUUAUCCAUCUCGGGAAGGUAGUGGAUGCUUGACACGGCGACGAUCGGUGGCGUGGACGGCGUGCACGCACUGCCACCGCCAUGGAUNNNNNNNNNNNNNNNNNNNNNNNNNNNNNNNNNNNNNNNNNNNNNNNNNNNNNNNNNNNNNNNNNNNNNNNNNNNNNNNNNNNNNNNNNNNNNNNNNNNNNNNNNNNNNNNNNNNNNNNNNNNNNNNNNNNNNNNNNNNNNNNNNNNNNNNNNNNNNNNNNNNNNNNNNNNNNNNNNNNNNNNNNNNNNNNNNNNNNNNNNNNNNNNNNNNNNNNNNNNNNNNNNNNNNNNNNNNNNNNNNNNNNNNNNNNNNNNNNNNNNNNNNNNNNNNNNNNNNNUGUCGGUCUAAGGCCCAGGGAAAGCGGGUGAGGGGGGUUCCCUUUCCUUUUUAUUCUGUGUUUCAUCUUUAUUUAUUUCUGUUUUACUUUUAGCUACUGUUUUGCUAUUUCUAUUGAAGGCAAAAGAUUUUUGGUCCAACAAGGUACUUGGCACAUAAAUAGUAUGCAAUGUUAUGAGCUAGCACAGGAAGCUUCAAGUUAUUUUGAAACAUGCAAAUAUUUAUUUAAAUUUAAAAGGAUCAAUUAAAAGUUGUUGGUCCAAUUUUAAUUAGAUUAAGGGCAUCUUAAUUAUUCAUAAAAUGUUGAUUUCUUUCAAGAAAAUUGUUAGUGGAUUUUUGCAACCCAUCGGUCAUUUUUGUUUUACUAUUUGAAGAAAUAAAAUUUUGACUUUCUUUUCCAUUCGAAUUCGUUUUUGGAUCAAAGUGAAGUUUAGGAAUUUAAUUGCAAUGACAUGGCAUCAUUGGUGUGUGGUUACUAUAGCUUAACUACCGGGGUGUUACAUUCUCCCAUUGCAAGAAAGAUCAAUCUAGUAGGCCAAACCAAACUGAUAAUUCGAAGAGACUUGCAAAGAUAACCAAUCAUACAUAAAAGAAUUCAGAGAAGAUUCAAAUAUUGUUCAUAGAUAGACCUGAUCGUAAACCCACAAUUCAUCGGUCUCAACAAACACACCGCAAAAAGAAGAUUAUAUCGAAUAGUUCUCCACAAGAGAGGGGGAGAACAUUGUAUUGAGAUCCAAAAAGAGAGAAGAAGUCAUCUAGCUACUAACUAUGGACCCGUAGGUCUGAGGUGAACUACUCACACUUAAUCGAAGGGGCUAUGGUGUUGAUGUAGAAGCCCUCCAUGAUCGAUGCCCCCUCCGGCGGAGCUUCGGAACAGGCCCCAAGAUGGGAUCUCGUGGAUACAAAAAGUUACGGCAUUGGAAUUAGGGUUUUGGCUCCUAUUCUGAUCGUUUGGGGGUACGUGGAUAUAUAUAGGAGGAAGGAGUACGUCGAUGGAGCAACAGGGGGCCCACGAGGGUGGAGGGCGCGCCUGGCGGGGUAGGCGCGCCCCCUACCUCAUGGCCUCCUAUUUUCUUUCUUGACGUAGGGUCCAAGUCUCUCGGGUCUUGUUCGUUGAGAAAAUCACGUUCUCGAAGGUUUCAUUCCAUUUGGACUCCAUUUGAUAUUCCUUUUCUUCGAAACCCUAAAACAAGCAAAAAACAGCAAUUCUGGGCCGGGCCUCCGGUUAAUAGGUUAGUCCCAAAAAUAAUAUAAAAGUGGAUAAUAAAGCCCAAUAAUGUCCAAAACAGUAGAUAAUAUAGCAUGGAGAAAUCAAAAAUUAUAGAUACGUUGGAGACGUAUCAAGCAUCCCCAAGCUUAAUUCCUGCUUGUCCUCGAGUAGGUAAAUGAUAAAAACAGAAUUUUUUAUGCGGAGUGCUACUUGGCAUAAUUUUAAUGUAAUUUUUAUUAAUUGUGGUAUGAAUAUUCAGAUCCUAAAGAUUCAAGACAAAAGUUUAUAUUGACAUAAAAAUGAUAAUACUUCAAGCAUACUAACUAAGCAAUUAUGUCUUCUGAAAAUAACAUGGCCAAAGAAAGUUCAUCCCUACAAAAUCAUAUGGUUUAGUCAUGUUUCAUUUUCGUCACACAAGAAUGCUAUAAUCAUGCACAACCCCGAUGACAAGCCAAGCAAUUGUUUCAUACUUUAGCAAUCUCAAACCUAUAAACUUUCACGCAAUAUAUGAGCGCGAGCCAUGGACAUAGCACUAUAGGUGGAAUAGAAUAUAAUGAGGGGGGUUAUGUGGAGAAGACAAAAAAGGAGAAAGUCUCACAUCAACGAGGCUAAUCAAUGGGCUAUGGAGAUGCCCACCGAUUGAUGUUAAUGCAAGUAGUAGGGAUUGCCAUGCAACGGAUGCACUAAAGCUAUAAAUGUAUGAAAGCUCAACAAAAGAAACUAGUGGGUGUGCAUCCAACUUGCUUGCUCACGAAGACCUAGGGCACUUGAUGAGGCCCAUUGUUGGAAUAUACAAGCCAAGUUCUAUAAUGAAAAAUUUCCACUAGUAUAUGAAAGUUACAAAAUAAGAGACUCUCUAUCAUGAAGAUUAAGGUGCUACUUUGAAGCACAGGUGUGGCAAAGGAUAGUAACAUUGUCCCUUCUCUCUUUUUCUCUCAUUUUUUUGGCCUUCUCUUUUUUAUGACCUUUCUCUUUUUUUAUUCCUCACUUGGGACAAUGCUUUAGAAAAUGAUGAUCAUCACACCUCUAUUUAUUUACAACUCAAUGAUUACAACUCGAUACUAGAACAAAGAUGACUCUAUAUGAAUGCCUCCGGCGGUGUACCGAGAUAUGCAAUGAUCAAGAGUGACAUGUAUGAAAGAAUUAUGAAUGGUGGUGACGGUGUCCUGGACUAGGGGGUACUCACCACGUCGUCUCCCGAUCUAUUAGAUUGGGCCAAGGCCCCCAUGGCCGUAUACUCAUGGGCCAGUUCGGACAGCUGCCGCAUACAAGGAAGAUUCCACAAAGACUUGGCGAUCAAGACAAGGACUUCUCCCCACAGGCGUAUUCAGCUAGGACUCUUGUUAACCUAGGCCUCUGGUGCAUUAUAUAAACCAGGGCCAGGCUAGUCGAUAGAAUAUACAACAACAUAUACAACAACAUAUACAACAACAUACACAACAACAAUCAUACCAUAGGCUAGCUUCUAGGGUUUAGCCUCUCCGAUCUCGUGGUAGAUCAACUCUUGUAAUACCCAUAUCAUCAAGAAUAAAUCGAGCAGGACGUAGGGUUUUACCUCCAUCAAGAGGGCCCAAACCUGGGUAAAACUUCGUGUUCCCUGCCUCCUCUUACCAUCGAUCCUAAACGCACAGUUCGGGACCCCCUACCCGAUAUCCGCCGGUUUUGACACCGACAUUGGUGCUUUCAUUGAGGGUUCCGCUGUGUGAUCGACAAAAGGAUCAAUGGCUCGCCUGCAGAUCAACUGCGACUUCGGCAUCUUUGUCACCAGCUCGACUAGUCACCUUGGUUCGACCAAGAAUUGCGCCCCGUGUUCGGAUCACCAUGUUUGGACGAGGGCCUUCAUCGAACAUCAACUCCGAUCUCUAUUAAGAUCAUGGAGGAAUCAUCCAUGGAGCUCGGGGGCUCAACGUCAACAUGGCCCUCAAGCGACCGUGUUGUUUUCCUGGACAGCGAACUCAUAUCUACCACCACCACCUCCUCGAGUAUCGUUUUGACGAUCGCUUUGGUGGAAUUGUGCGGAAUUGAGUCUACAACAACCCUGGAAAAUUUCGUCGAGUUCCGAUGAAGGAAUCUCUGGCAAUCCACGAUAUACCGGAGCCCUGUCAAAUCUGGAUGGGAAUUUGGAUGAGUUUAGGGCGUGGUGUCCAGCUUCUAGCUCGGACGUCCUUUGGAAGAUCCAACUAUUGAUCGGCUGCGGAAUUCCUAUAUCUACCACCUCUCAAAAGUUCAGCUCGAUCCGACCGUCCAAACUCCGGGAACCUUCCGAUUAGUGCAUCACUUUUCGGAUCUGUUUUCUGCACGAAAACGAAUCCGACCCGAGUUCAUCUUUUUUAUGAACGGGAUUUCGGACAUCCCUUUUGAAGGAAGUUUUGUAUGGGGUAUUGUGUUUUGUUCCCGAACACAUCCCACUAACUUUAAGAUCUUUUGAACAUGAUCUUCAACAUCAUGCUGGUGUCAAACCAGUCUGGCAAUAUUACUCCACGGCUGCCAACCUGCGCUAGACACGUUAUCACUUUAGCCGAGCUCAACUUCUUCGGAUCAUCAUCUCGGCAAGCCGAACAAGAGUCCGGCAUCGCGAAGGAUAAAUCAUCAUCAACAUCGCCACCCCACGGAUUACACGGAGCGGGCAUACCGGCAUCGCUGCACGAUCGCUUCAUCAAGCCGGCAUCGACCACGUCACGACCUGCAUCGACAGGGCCGCACUAUUGCUUCUUCAAGCUGGUGUCCAUCACGCCGACCUACUUCGACUCAUCGGCUGACGUCAAGGCUUCAACAUCUCGGCUGGACCGGGGGCUUCGCCAUCUCUUCAUCAACCUACUCCGGACGCUUCAGCGUCACUAUCCGACCGGCUCCGUCACGUUAGCUGGGCCGAGGGCUUUUCCUCGGUGAGUCAACCUUUACCAGCAUUGCCAUGCUGUCGUUUUAUCGCCCAUCAGUCAAUGGGUGUGCGGAGCGAGUCCCAGUUUUGGGAAUCAUCUUCCUUCGGAUUGCUACAACAAAUAAACCAGGUGCUAUUAAUCCUAGUAUUUUUUGCUUGUUUGGGUUCAUUUUUUCCAAGGAAUUAUUACUCUAGUUUGUCCAUGAUAUGUACACAGGUCUAUCAAAUGGUGACCGCAUUAACGACGGUCGCGUGGUGGUUCGAUCAGUUUCCGUACAUAGUCCGGCGAACACCGCAUCCGGAGCUCGGACCGACCUGUGAAUUCAGGCUUUGCCACGCCUUUACUACAUCACGCCGACGCCCUGCAUUGACAUUGACUUCGGCGCCAGGCCAUAUUUCUUCUAUUCCUCACUUUGCAUAAAUUAUUUAUUAUGCAACAUUUUUUUUAAUUAUCAUUAUUACUAUUAUCUCCGGUUUGCACUAUUUUUUGUGCACAGGAAAAUGAUCCGGGGACUUCGGCGUCACUCUGCCGGUCUGCAUUGACCAUGCUAUGUCACCUCUUCGGCGUGUCUAGCUCUCUGCUCCGCCACCUCAGGACCAGCUUGGGGGAUGGAACCUUGUCCCGCAUCAAGCUCAGACCGCGUCAUCAAUACCGAACAUAUUAACCAGCUAAGUCGCUUUCAUGCUCAAAGCUUUAAUUUCUAACUUGUGCUCGGUUCGACCAAACAUUAUACUUUUUUGGAAAAAAGUUGCUUGUAAAAAAUUUCCUUGUCCAAACUUUGUUUGUGACGCAUAAAUUCAAAUACCCCGUUUACUUGGGGGCUUCCUUUAUGAAGCUUUUCCUGUUGCAUAUGAUUAUACUUGUACGGCUUCGUUCCUUGUUCGUGUAUUACGCCACAAUAUGCACCAUAUUGACUUAAGCGAUUUGCAAGCUGGGUUGCCUCGCUCCUGUGUUUACCCCUACGUUCCCGAUUGUUCGGCUAGGGAGUAAAGGGAGCACCUCUGCGAUUGUCACGAUCGGGUCAACUGAGCCGGACCUCAGACUGGGUGAAGCCGAAAGCUAGCGCUCUUAUAGUUUUCAAUGCUGGUCGGCACACAACGGAACUCAUGAGUACAAAAAAUCUAUUGCACAAGUCUCAUAAUAACAAUGAGCACCAAAGAAAGGUAUCGGUGGGGGUACUAUUUUCUUCGAAGAUGCUUCUUACACUUUGCAGUAAUAUAGUAUAAGUUCCCUGAGCGCGCUUUGUCUGUUACAACCUUAUGGCCUGAUUGCCUGGUUAUUGAAAACACCGUCAAUAUUCUCGACAGAUGGAGUACAUAACACUUUUCGGUCCUUGACCGAAGAGGGACAAGCCGACGGUCAGUUAAGACGCGUUUAAAGUUCGGUUGAACAUAGAUAUGAUAUAAGUACUUUGGUACAUGGAAUCAUUCUUUUACUCAAGUCACUUGGGGGCUCUUAAGUUUAUUUGACCCGUUUUAUAAUAAGUGUUCUUCUUCUUAGUCGUUGCAAAGUUUUAUUAUUAUUAUUUAUCACUCCUUUUUUCGACGCGAGUGUGCGGUCACUAGUCGGGGAGCCUAAUUUCUCUCUCAAAGCCGCUAGAGUUUAGUUUGCUAAACUGGCCUAAUGAGAAGUACUCCGCCCUCGGGAUAGGAGGUUAAAGCCGUAGGCUGACCCGCUCGAAGUCUUGAGAUAGGAUGUAUCAUGUUAAAGCACGACGGAAGCACUUCUUUUUUCUAAGACCAAUUUUCGGAUUGGCACCGAACACUUGAUCUUGUUCGGACGUCAUGUUUUUACUAACGUUUCUUGGUUUUCCAAGCUUUUUGGCACUUUUAAACUAUUUGUGCUUUUCCAGCAUUAGUCUCUCAGUGCAACACCAGACACCUUUAGGGAUUCGGCAAAAACAUUCUAAGAUAUUGCUAUAUAUGCAUCGGUUUCGAAUUGUGUCUUCGGUCAAUAGUUGUGUUGCCCGGCUCCUGCACUUGCUUCCUACAUUCUGUUUUGUUCGGCUAGGCUUGCAAAGGGAGAACCACUGAGAUUGUGCUUCCAGCUCACAUGGUUAAGCACCUCAGUGGAGAAAGCCGAAAACUGACUGUCACAAUAAGCGUAAACUGGUCAGCGAUCCGAUGACUAUGUUAAAUGACGGGCCAUUCAUAACAUUGGCCGAAGUGUUUACGGCUUGACCCCGACUGUCGCCAAACACUACCGGGGGCUAUUAACUGGCCUCCCAAACUAAAUCCUCGAUAUUUUGCUCUUACAUUAGAUCUGAGGUCUAAUGAUCAUGCUUAGCAUGACAACCCAAAGAAAGGAACCGAUAGCGGGACUAUUUUCUUUGGAAGACAUUUCUUCUGUUAAACAGUAAUAUAACUCUCUGCGUACCUUUGUUUAUAAAACCGUAUGGCCAGAUUGCCUUGUUUGUUGUAAAUCUUUGCCCUCAUAAAGGUUUUAUAAAGUAGGACAAACACUCCUCGGCUACUGGCCGAGGAGGUGGAAGCCGAUGGUCGGUUAACAAAGUUUUGUACAAUGCGGAUCUGAGCAUUAAUGACAUAAAGCACUUGGAUACAUAGAGUCAUUACACAUAAUCUGUGAUUUUACUAUGGAUAUUGAUCCUUAAUUCGGCCACCCGUGCCCGCAUUAAGGCUCAGGGGCUACUGGGCUUCGGGCUUAUUGUUUACAAAUAUUAAAGGGGCACAUCGAUCCCCUGAUCUGGUGUUGCCACCCGACUAGUGUCUCGGGGGCUACUGCAUUGCCUGUUGAAUGCAGAAGAUUUUAAGUGCAAUACAGUUACCGAGGAGAUUUUGAUCCUCAGGUUGGUCGGCCACACCCAACCUGAGUCUCGAGGACUGAGCGCGCCGCUUUUAGUGUCCCGAAGUAUUCUGCCGAGCUUGGACUUGAUCCUCAGGCCGAUUUUGCAAAUCAACCUGAGUCUCAGCGGCUACUAGGAUCAGCGGUCUUACGUCAUCCUUCAGGUGCAUCUCGGGUUUUAGACCGAUACACACCUUGAGGGCUACUGGCUAUAUAUCUCGGCAGAGAAUAAAUUGCACCAACAAAAUAUAUUCACAAAAAUCGGCCCACAUUCGGGGUGGUGCACCACCUCGGAAGCAGUCCGGCAUAAAGCUCGGGCACUAGUGGUUGGCUCCGUAGAGGGCAUUUCCGGCGUAAAGCUCGGCUAAACUCCUUCACACUUUUUUGAACCAAGGUGAUAUGACACCUCGGAUAUAGUCCGGCGUUGGAGCUCGGAUACAUUCCGGCGUUAGAGCUGGGAAGCGGUCCGGCAUUGGUGCUCGGCUGCAAAAGAUACCUCGAAUACAGUCCAGUGUUAGAGCUCGGACGCAAGAGGACACUGCCUCCUGGGGACAACUUCAAACCCGAGGUGUGGCAUAAAAAUAAUAAGGCAUUGAUAAAGGCCGGAAACUUAAAGGGGCUCCUCGGAUACCCGGCGUAUAAACUCGUCGAAUGCAUUUCGGGAUCCUCAAGAUCGAAGAUGAGAAGAUUUGUUGAACCAGUUUUCAAGAGCGACGACCGAAGAUGAAGAACAGUUCGGAAGAAUCAAGGAGCGUCCCUAACUUGAAGACCGGUUCAGGGGGCUACUGACGGUGUCUUGGACUAGGGGGUACUCACCACGUCGUCUCCCGAUCUAUUAGAUUGGGCCGAGGCCCCCAUGGCCGUAUACUCAUGGGCCAGUUCGGACAGCUGCCGCAUACAAGGAAGAUUCCACAAAGACUUGGCGAUCAAGACAAGGAAUUCUCCCCACCGGCGUAUUCGGCUAGGACUCUUGUUAACCUAGGCCUCUAGUGCAUUAUAUAAACCAGGGCCAGGCUAGUCGAUAGAAUAUACAACAACAUAUACAACAACAUAUACAACAACAUACACAACAACAAUCAUACCAUAGGCUAGCUUCUAGGGUUUAGCCUCUCCGAUCUCGUGGUAGAUCAACUCUUGUAAUACCCAUAUCAUCAAGAAUAAAUCGAGCAGGACGUAGGGUUUUACCUCCAUCAAGAGGGCCCAAACCUGGGUAAAACUUCGUGUUCCCUGCCUCCUGUUACCAUCGAUCCUAGACGCACAGUUCGGGACCCCCUACCCGAGAUCCGCCGGUUUUGACACCGAUAGGUGGCUUUGCCACAAAUACUAUGUCAACUACAUGAUCAUGCUAAGCAAUAUGACAAUAGUGAAUGUGUCAUGAUGAGCGGAAUGAUGGAAAGUUGCAUGGCAAUAUAUCUCAGAAUGGCUAUGGAAAUGCCAUAGUAGGUAGGUAUGGUGGCUGUUUUGAGGAGGAUAUAAGGAGGUUUAUGUGUGAAAGAGAGUAUCAUAUAACGGGGUUUGGAUGCACCGGCGAAGUUUGCGCCAACUCUCAAUGUGAGAAAGGGCAAUGCACGUUACCGAAGAGGCUAGCAAGGAUGGAAGGGUGAGAGUGCGUAUAAUCCAUGGACUCAACAUUAGUCAUAAAGAACUCACAUACUUAUUGCAAAAAUCUACAAGUCAUCAAAAACCUCGGUACUACGCGCAUGCUCCUAGGGGGAUAGAUUGGUAGGAAAAGACCAUCGCCCGUCCCCGACCGCCACUCAUAAGGAAGACAAUCAAAUAACACCUCUUGUUUCAAAUUUGUUGCAUAACGUUUACCAUAUGUGCAUGCUACGAGACUUGAAAACUUCAACACAAGUAUUUCUCAAUUUCACAACUACUCAACUAGCACGACUUUGAUAUUAUUACCUCCAUGUCUCAAAACAAUCAUCAAGCAUCAAACUUCUCUUAGUAUUCAAAACACUCAUAAGAAAAUUUUACUAACUUUGAAUACCUAGCAUAUUAGGAUUUUAAGCAAAUUACCAUGCUAUUAAGACUCUCAAAAUAAUCUAAGUGAAGCAUGAGAGAUCAAUAGUUUUUAUAAAACAAAUCCACCACCAUGCUCUAAAAGAUAUGAGUGAAGUACUAGAGCAAAAUUAUAUAACUCAAAAGAUAUAAGCGAAGCACAUAGAGUAUUCUAACAAAUUCCAAAUCAUGUAUGGCUCUCUCAAAAGGUGUGUAUAGCAAGGAUGAUUGUGGUAAACUAACAAUCAAAGACUCAAAUCAGACAAGACGCUCCAAGCAAAACACAUAGCAUGUGGCGAAUAAAAAUAUAGCUCCAAGUAAAGUUACCGAUAGAAGUAGACGAAAGAGGGGAUGCCUUCCAGGGCAUCCCCAAGCUUUGGCUUUUAGGUGUCCUUAGAUUAUCUUGGGGGUGCCAUGGGCAUCCCCAAGCUUAGGAUCUUGCCACUCCUUGUUCCAUAAUCCAUCAAAUCUUUACCCAAAACUUGAAAACUUCACAACACAAAACUUAAAGUAGAAAAUCUCGUGAGCUCCGUUAGCGAAAUAAAAUAAAAGACCACUUCAAGGUACUGUAAUGAACUCAUUCUUUAUUUAUAUUGGUGUUAUACCUACUGUAUUCCAACUUCUCUAUGGUUUAUAAACUAUUUUACAAGCCAUAGAUUCAUCAAAAUAAGCAAACAUCACACGAAAAACAGAAUCUUUAAAAAACAGAACAAUCUGUAGUAAUAUGUAGCUAGCGCAAGAUCUGGAACCCCAAAAGUUCUAAAAUAAAUUGCUAGACGUGAGGAAUUUAUCUAUUAAUCAUCUUCAAAAAUAAUUAACUAAAUAUCACUCUCCAAAUAAAAAUGGCAGUAGUUAUCGUGAGCGCUAAAGUUUCUAUUUUUUACAGCAAGUUCAACAAGACUUUCCCCAAGUCUUCCCAACGGUUCUACUUGGCACAAACACUAAUUAAACACAAAAAAACAACCAAAACAGAGGCUAGAUAAAUUAUUUAUUACUAAACAGGAGCAAAAAGCAAGGAAUAAAAAUAAAAUUGGGUUGCCUCCCAACAAGCGCUAUCGUUUAACGCCCCUAGCUAGGCAUAACAAUCAAGAAUAGAUCUAGGUAUUGCCAUCUUUGGUAAGCAAUCCAUAAGUGGCUCUCAUAAUAGAUUCAUAAGGUAAUUUAAUUUUCUUUCUAGGAAAGUGUUCCAUGCCUUUCCUUAAUGGAAAUUGGAAUAUAAUAUUUCCUUCCUUCAUAUCAAUAAUUGCACCAAUCGUUCUAAGGAAAGGUCUACCAAGAAUAAUAGCACAUGAAGGAUUGCAAUCUAUGUCAAGAACAAUAAAAUCCACGGGCACAUAAUUCCUAUUUGCAACAAUAAUAACAUCAUUAAUUCUUCCCAUAGGUUUUCUAAUAGUGGAAUCCGCAAGGUCCAAGUUUAGAGAGCAAUCAUCAAAAUCACGGAAACCUAACAAAUCACACAAAGUCUUUGGAAUCGUGGAAACACUAGCACCCAAAUCACAUAAAGCAUAGCAUUCAUGAUCUUUAAUUUUAAUUUUAAUAGUUGAUUCCCACUCAUCAUAAAGUUUUCUAGGGACAGAAACUUCCAGUUCAAGUUUUUCUUCAUAAUAUUGCAUCAAGGCACCAAUGAUAUGUUUAGUAAACGCUUUAUUUUGACUAUAAGCGUGAGGAGAAUUUAGCACGGAUUGCAACAAGUAAAUACAAUCAAUGAAAGAGCAAUUUUCAUAUUUAAAUUCCUUGAAAUCCAUAAUAGUGGGUUUAGCAACAUCUUUAAUUUCUUCAAUCCCGCUUUUAUCAAAUUUAGCACCAAGAUCAACAAAUUCUGAAUUCUUGGAACGCCUUCUAGGUAAAGGUGGAUCAUAUUUAGUCCCAUCAUUAUCAAGAUUCAUAUUGCAAAACAAAGAUUUAAUAGGGGACACAUCAAUAACUUUUAGAUCUUCAUCUUUAUUUUCAUAGCAAUCCGGUUUAGCGGCCAUCUUAUUAACUAAGGUAGCUUGCCUAUCCGAAAUUUCAGCAGUUAACUUCUCAAGAUGAGCAAUUUGGGAUCUUAAACCAUCGAAUUCUUUAGACAUAUCAUCAAGCUCUUUAUUCAUAAAACUCAUAAAACUUUUCUGUUCUUUAAGCUCAUUUCUGAAGAAACUAUUAUGUUCAAAUUGCAAGACCAUAAAACUCCUGACAUUGCUUUCGAUAUCUUCUAGCCUUUUAAGGUGGAGAUAACCAAAUUUAGGAAGAGCCAUAAAGGCAAGCAAGCAAACUAACACACAAGCAAACAAAAAGCAAGCGGGCAAAAAGAGGCAAAUAGAGAGGGAGGAUAGAGAGAGAGAGGGCGAAUAAAACGGCAAGGGUGAAGUGGGUGAGAGGAAAACGAGAGGCAAAUGGCAAAUAAUGUAAUGCGGGAGAUAAGGAUAUGUGAUGGGUACUUGGUAUGUUGACUCUGCGUAGACCUCCCCGGCAACGGCGCCAGAAAUCCUUCUUGCUACCUCUUGAGCACUGCGUUGGUUUUCCCCGAAGAGGAAGGGAUGAUGCAGCAAAGUAGCGUAAGUAUUUCCCUCAGUUUUUGAGAACCAAGGUAUCAAUCCAGUAGGAGGCUACGCGCGAGUCCCUCGUGAAGGAAAUAUGCCCUAGAGGCAAUAAUAAAGUUAUUAUUUAUUUCCUUAUAUCAUGAUAAAUGUUUAUUAUUCAUGCUAGAAUUGUAUUAACCGGAAACAUAAUACAUGUGUGAAUACAUAGACAAACAGAGUGUCACUAGUAUGCCUCUACUUGACUAGCUCGUUAAUCAAAGAUGGUUAUGUUUCCUGACCAUGAACAAUGAGUUGUUAUUUGAUUAACGAGGUCACAUCAUUAGUUGAAUGAUCUGAUUGACAUGACCCAUUCCAUUAGCUUAGCACCUGAUUGUUUAGUAUGUUGCUAUUGCUUUCUUCAUGACUUAUACAUGUUCCUAUGACUAUGAGAUUAUGCAACUCCCGUUUACCGGAGGAACACUUUGGGUACUACCAAACGUCACAACGUAACUGGGUGAUUAUAAAGGAGUACUACAGGUGUCUCCAAUGGUCGAUGUUGGGUUGGCGUAUUUCGAGAUUAGGAUUUGUCACUCCGAUUGUCGGAGAGGUAUCUCUGGGCCCUCUCGGUAAUACACAUCACAUAAGCCUUGCAAGCAUUACAACUAAUAUGUUAGUAGUGAGAUGAUGUAUUACGGAACGAGUAAAGAGACUUGCCGGUAACGAGAUUGAACUAGGUAUUGGAUACCGACGAUCGAAUCUCGGGCAAGUAACAUACCGAUGACAAAGGGAACAACGUAUGUUGUUAUGCGGUCUGACCGAUAAAGAUCUUCGUAGAAUAUGUAGGAGCCAAUAUGGGCAUCCAGGUCCCGCUAUUGGUUAUUGACCGGAGACGUGUCUUGGUCAUGUCUACAUUGUUCUCGAACCCGUAGGGUCCGCACGCUUAAGGUUACGAUGACAGUUAUAUUAUGAGUUUACAUGUUUUGAUGUACCGAAGGAGUUCGGAGUCCCGGAUGAGAUCGGGGAUAUGACGAGGAGUCUCGAAAUGGUCGAGACGUAAAGAUUCAUAUAUUGGAUGAUAUGGUUAGGCCAAGGGGUCAAGCCCAUGAGGCUUUAGAUCGGCGCAAAAAGGAGUUUUGCAGAGGCCAGGGGGCCAAACGCCGGAGACCCUGGCGUCUGGCCCUGGGCCAGACGCCGAGGCCCAUGGCGUCUGGGCCAGACGCCAAGGAUUGUGGCGUUUGGUCCUGGAGUCCGAGUGGGACUCUUGCCUUUCGGGAAAAACCGACUUUGAGGAGGCUUUUGCUCCAAGUUUCGACCCCGGGGCUCAACAUAUAAAUAGAGGGGCAGGGCUAGCACCAAAGACACAACAAUUGAUCCCUUGGAUCUCUUAGCCGUGUGCGGUGCCCCCCUCCACCAUAGUCCACCUCGAUAAUAUCGUAGCGGUGCUUAGGCGAAGCCCUGCGACGGUAGAACAUUAAGAUCGUCACCACGCCGUCGUGCUGACGGAACUCUCCCUCGACACUCGGCUGGAUUGGAGUUCGAGGGACGUCAUCGAGCUGAACGUGUGCUAGAACUCGGAGGUGCCGUAGUUUCGGUGCUUGAUCGGUCGGGCCGUGAAGACGUACGACUACAUCAACCGCGUUGUGCUAACGCUUCCGCUUACGGUCUACAAGGGUAUGUAGACAACACUCUCCCCUCUCGUUGCUAUACAUCACCAUGAUCUUGCGUGUGCGUAGGAAAAUUUUUGAAAUUACUACGAAACCCAACAGUGGCAUCCGAGCCUAGGUUACUUAUGUUGAUGUUAUAUGCACGAGUAGAACACAAGUGAGUUGUGGACGAUACAAGUCAUACUGCCUACCAGCAUGACAUACUUUGGUUCAGCGGUAUUGUUGGACGAGACGACCCGGACCAACCUUACGCGUACGCUUACGCGAGACCGGUUCCCUCGACGUGCUUUGCACAGAGAUGGCUUGCGGGCGACUGUCUCUCCAACUUUAGUUGAACCAAGUAUGGCUACGCCCGGUCCUUGCGAAGGUUAAAACGGAGUCUAUUUGACAAACUAUCGUUGUGGUCUUGAUGCAUAGGUGAGAUUGGUUCUUACUUAAGCCCGUAGUAGCCACGUAAAACAUGCAACAACAAAGUAGAGGACGUCUAACUUGUUUUUGCAGGGCAUGUUGUGAUGUGAUAUGGUCAAAGCAUGAUGCUGAAUUUUAUUGUAUGAGAUGAUCAUGUUUUGUAACCGAGUUAUCGGCAACUGGCAGGAGCCAUAUGGUUGUCGCUUUAUUGUAUGCAAUGCAAUCGCGAUGUAAUGCUUUACUUUAUUACUAAACGGUAGUGAUAGUCGUGGAAGCAUAAGAUUGGCGAGACGACAACGAUGCUACGAUGGAGAUCAAGGUGUCGCGCCGGUGAUGAUGGUGAUCAUGAAGGUGCUUCGGAGAUGGAGAUCACAAAGCACAAGAUGAUGAUGACCAUAUCAUAUCACUUAUAUUGAUUGCAUGUGAUGUUUAUCUUUUUAUGCAUCUUAUCUUGCUUUGAUUGACGGUAGCAUUAUAAGAUGAUCUCUCACUAAAUUAUCAAGAAGUGUUCUCCCUGAGUAUGCACCAUUGCCAAAGUUCGUCGUGCCCAGACACCACGUGAUGAUCGGGUGUGAUAAGCUCUACGUCCAUCUACAAUGGGUGCAAGCCAGUUUUGCACACGCAGAAUACUCAGGUUAAACUUGACGAGCCUAGCAUAUGCAGAUAUGGCCUCGGAACACGAAGACCGAAAGGUCGAGCGUGAAUCAUAUAGUAGAUAUGAUCAACAUAACGAUGUUCACCAUUGAAAACUACUCCAUCUCACGUGAUGAUCGGUCAUGGUUUAGUUGAUUUGGAUCACGUAAUCACUUAGAGGAUUAGAGGGAUGUCUAUCUAAGUGGGAGUUCUUAAGUAAUAUGAUUAAUUGAACUUAAAUUUAUCAUGAACUUAGUCCUGGUAGUAUUUUGCAAAUUAUGUUGUAGAUCAAUAGCUCGCGUUGUUGCUUCCCUGUGUUUAUUUUGAUAUGUUCCUAGAGAAAAUCAUGUUGAAAGAUGUUAGUAGCAAUGAUGCGGAUUGGAUCCGUGAUCUGAGGUUUAUCCUCAUUGCUGCACAGAAGAAUUAUGUCCUUGAUGCACCGCUAGGUGACGGACCUAUUGCAGGAGCAGAUGCAGAUGUUAUGAACGUUUGGCUAGCUCAAUAUGAUGACUACUUGAUAGUUUAGUGCACCAUCCUUAAUGGCUUAGAAUCGGGACUUCAACGACGUUUUGAACGUCAUGGAGCAUAUGAGAUGUUCCAGGAGUUGAAGUUAAUAUUUCAAGCAAAUACCCGAGUUGAGAGAUAUGUAGUCUCCAACAAGUUCUAUAGCUAAAAGAUGGAGGAGAAUCGCUCAACUAGUGAGCAUGUGCCCAGAUUGUCUGAGUACAACAAUCGCUUGAAUCAAGUGGGAGUUAAUCUUCCAGAUGAGAUAGUGAUUGACAGAAUUCUCUAGUCGCCAUCACCAAGUUAGUAGAACUUCGUGAUGAACUAUGAUAUGCAAGGGAUAACGGAAACAAUUCCCAAGCUCUUCGUAAUGCGGAAAUUGACGAAGGUAGAAAUCGAGAAAAACAUCAAGUGUUGAUGGUAGACAAGACCACUAGUUUCAAGAAAAGGGCAGAGGGAAGAAGGGGAACUUCAAAUAGAAUGGCAAGCAAGUUGCUGCUCAAGUGAAGAAGCCCAAGUCUGGUCCUAAGCCUGAGACUAAGUGUUUCUACUGCAAAGGGACUGGUCACUGGAAGCGGAUCUACCCCAAGUGAUUGGCGGAUAAGAAGGAUGGCAAAGUGAACAUAAGUAUAUUUGAUAUACAUGUUAUUGAUGUGUACUUUACUAGUGUUUAUCGCAAACCCUCAGUAUUUGAUACUAGUUCAGUUGCUAAGAUUAGUAACUUGAAACAGGAGUUGCAGAAUAAACAGAGACUAGUUAAGGGUGAAGUGACGAUGUGUGUUGGAAGUGGUUCCAAGAUUGAUAUGAUCAUCGUCGCACACUCCCUAUACUUUCAGGAUUAGUGUUGAACCUAAAUAAGUGUUAUUUGGUGUUUGCGUUGAGCAUGAAUAUGAUUUGAUCAUGUUUAUUGUAAUACCGUUAUUCAUUUAAGUAAGAGAAUAAAUUGUUAUUCUGUUUACAUGAAUAGAACCUUAUAUGGUUACACACCCAAUGAAAAUAGUUUGUUGGAUCUCGAUCGUAGUGAUACACAUAAUCAUAAUAUUGAAACCAAAAGAUGCAAAGUUAAUAAUGAUAGUGCAACUUAUUUGUAGCACUGCCGUUUAGGUCAUAUUGGUGUAAAGCGCAUGAAGAAACUCCAUGCUGAUGGGAUUUUGGAAUCACUUGAUUAUGAAUCACUUGAUGCUUGCGAACCAUGCCUUUUGGGCAAGAUGACUAAAACGCCGUUCUCCGGAACAAUAAAGCAAGCAACAGAUUUGUUGGAGAUCAUACAUACUGAUGUAUGUGGUCCGGUGAAUAUUAAAGCUUGCAGCAGGUAUCAUUAUUUUCUGACCUUCACAGAUGAUUUGAGCAGAUAUGGGGAUAUCUACUUGAUGAAACAUUUGAACAGUUCAAAGAAUUUCAGAGUGAAGUGGAAAAUCAUCGUGACAAGAAAAUAAAGUUUCUACGAUCUGAUCGCGGAGACAAAUAUUUGAGUUACGAGUUUGGUCUUCAAUUAAAACAAUGUGGAAUAGUUUCAUAAACUCAUGCCACAUGGAACACCACAGCAUAAUGGUGUGUCCGAACGUCAUAACCGUACUUUAUUAGAUAUAUAGUGCAAUCUAUGAUGUCUCUUACCGAUCUACCACUAUCGUUUUGGGGUUAUGCAUUAAAGACAGCUGCAUUCACGUUUUAAAAUAGGGCACCAUCUAAAUCCGUUGAGACGACACCGUAUGAACUAUGGUUUAGCAGUAAACCUAAGCUGUUGUUUCUUAAAGUUUGGGGCUGCGAUGCUUAUGUGAAAAAGUUUCAUCCUAAUAAGCUCGAACCCAAAUCGGAGAAGUGCGUCUUCAUAGAAUACCCAAAGGAAAUUGUUGGGUACACCUUCUAUCACAGAUCCGAAGGCAAGACAUUCGUUGCUAAAAUGGAUCCUUUCCAGAGAAGGAGUUUCUCUCGAAAGAAGUGAGUGGGAGGAGAGUAAAACUUGAUGAGGUAAUUGUACCUUCUCCCUUAUUGGAAAGUAGUUCAUCACAGAAAUCAGUUCCAGUGAUUCCUACACCAAUUAGUGAGGAAGUUAAUGAUGAUGAUCAUCAAACUUCAGAUCAAGUUGCUACCAAACCUCGUAGGUCUUCCAAUGUAAGAUCCGCACCAGAGUGGUACGGUAAUCAUGUUCUGGAAGUCAUGUUACUAGACCAUGAUGAACCUACGAACUAUGAGGAAGCGAUGAUGAGCCCAGAUUCCACGAAAUGGCUUGAGGCCAUGAAAUCUGAGAUAUGAUCCAUGUAUGAGAACAAAGUGUAGACUUUGAUUGACUUGCCCGAUGAUCGGUGAGUCAUUAAGAAUAAAUGGAUCUUCAAGAGGAAGACGGACGUUGAUAGUAGUGUUACUAUCUACAAAGCUAGACUUGUCGAAAAAGGUUUUUGACAAAGUUCAAGGUGUUGAAUACGAUGAGAUUUUCUUACUUGUAUCGAUGCUUAAAAGUCUGUCCGAAUCAUGUUAGCAAUUGCCGCAUUUUAUGAUUAUGAAAUUUGGCAGAUGGAUGUCAAAACUGCAUUCCUGAAUGGAUUUCUGGAAGAAGAGUUGUAUAUGAUGCAACCGGAAGGUUUUGUCGAUCCAAAGGGAGCUAACAAAGUGUGCAAGCUCCAGCGAUCCAUUUAUGGACUGGUGCAAGAAUCUCGGAGUUGGAAUAUACGCUUUGAUAAGUUGAUCAAAGCAUAUAGUUUUUGUACAGACUUACGGUGAAGCCUGUAUUUACAAGAAAGUGAGUGGGAGCACUACAACAUUUCUAAUAAGUAUAUGUGAAUGACAUAUUGUUGAUCGGAAAUAAUGUAGAAUUAUUCUGCAAAGCAUGAAAGGAUACUUGAAUAAAAGUUUUUCAAAGAAAGACCUUGGUGAAGCUGCUUACACAUUGAGCAUCAAGAUCUAUAUAGAUAGAUGAAGACGCUUGAUAAGAUUUUUCAAUGAAUGCAUACCUUGAUAAAUUUUUGAAAUAGUUCAAAAUGGAACAGUCAAAGAAGGAGUUCUUGCCUGUGUUGCAAGGUGUGAAGUUGAGUAAGACUCAAAGCCCGACCACGGCAGAAAAUAGAAAGAGAAUGAAAGUCAUUCCCUAUGCCUCAGUCAUAGGUUCUAUAAAGUAUGCCAUGCUGUAUACCAGAUCUAUUGUAUGCCAUACCACUGAGUUUGGCAAGGGAGUACAAUAGUGAUCUAGGAGUAGAUCACUAGAGAGCGGUCAAAAUUGUCCUUAGUGGAAUAAGGAUAUGUUUCUCGAUUAUGGAAAAAGGUUCGUCGUAAAGGGUUACGCCGAUGCAAGUUUGACACUAAUCUAGAUGACUCUAAGUCUCGAUCUAGAUACAUAUUGAAAGUGGGAGCAAUUAGCUAGAGUAGCUCCAUGCAGAGCAUUGUUGACAUAAAAAUUUGCAAAAUACAUAAGGAUCUGAAUGUGGCAGACCCGUUGACUAAGAUUCUCUCACAAGCAAAACAUGAUCACACCUUAGUACUCCUUGGGUGUUAAUCACAUAGCGAUGUGAACUAGAUUACUGAAUCUAGUAAACCCUUUGGGUGUUGGUCACAUAGCGAUGUGAACUAUGGGUGUUAAUCACAUGGUGAUGUAAACUAUUGCUGUUAAAUCACAUGGCGAUGUGAACUAGAUUAUUGACUCUAGUGCAAGUGGGAGACUGAAGGAAAUAUGCCCUAGAGGCAAUAAUAAAGUUAUUAUUUAUUUCCUUAUAUCAUGAUAAAUGUUUAUUAUUCAUGCUAGAAUUGUAUUAACCGGAAACAUAAUACAUGUGUGAAUACAUAGACAAACAGAGUGUCACUAGUAUGCCUCUACUUGACUAGCUCGUUAAUCAAAGAUGGUUAUGUUUCCUGACCAUGAACAAUGAGUUGUUAUUUGAUUAACGAGGUCACAUCAUUAGUUGAAUGAUCUGAUUGACAUGACCCAUUCCAUUAGCUUAGCACCCGAUCGUUUAGUAUGUUGCUAUUGCUUUCUUCAUGACUUAUACAUGUUCCUAUGACUAUGAGAUUAUGCAACUCCCGUUUGCCGGAGGAACACUUUGGGUACUACCAAACGUCACAACGUAACUGGGUGAUUAUAAAGGAGUACUACAGGUGUCUCCAAUGGUCGAUGUUGGGUUGGCGUAUUUCGAGAUUAGGAUUUGUCACUCCGAUUGUCGGAGAGGUAUCUCUGGGCCCUCUCGGUAAUACACAUCACAUAAGCCUUGCAAGCAUUACAACUAAUAUGUUAGUUGUGAGAUGAUGUAUUACGGAACGAGUAAAGAGACUUGCCAGUAACGAGAUUGAACUAGGUAUUGGAUACCGACGAUCGAACCUCGGGCAAGUAACAUACCGAUGACAAAGGGAACAACGUAUGUUGUUAUGCGGUCUGACCGAUAAAGAUCUUCGUAGAAUAUGUAGGAGCCAAUAUGGGCAUCCAGGUCCCGCUAUUGGUUAUUGACCGGAGACGUGUCUCGGUCAUGUCUACAUUGUUCUCGAACCCGUAGGGUCCGCACGCUUAAGGUUACGAUGACAGUUAUAUUAUGAGUUUAUGCAUUUUGAUGUACCGAAGGUUGUUCGGAGUCCCGGAUGUGAUCACGGACAUGACGAGGAGUCUCGAAAUGGUCGAGACGUAAAGAUUGAUAUAUUGGAAGCCUAUAUUUGGAUAUCGAAAGUGUUCCGGGUGAAAUCGGGAUUUUACCGGAAUACCGAGAGGGUUACCGGAACCCCCCGGGAGCUAUUUGGGCCAUAGUGGGCCUUAGUGGAAAAGAGAAGGGGCUGCCCUAGAUGGGCUGCGCGCCACCCCCUAGUCCUAUUAGGACUAGGAGAGGUGGCCGGCCCCCUCCUCCUCUUUUCCCCUCCGAGGAAUCCUAGUUGGACUAGGAUUGGAGGGGGAAUCCUACUCCCAGAGGGAGUAGGACUCUCCUGCGCCUCCCCCCCUUGGCCGGCCAGCCUCCCCUCCUCUCCUCCUUUAUAUACGGAGGCAGGGGCACCUCUAAACACACAAGUUGACACAAGUUGAUCCACGUGAUCGAUUCCUUAGCCGUGUGCGGUGCCCCCUGCCACCAUAUUCCUCGAUAAUACUGUAGCGGAGUUUAGGCGAAGCCCUGCUGCUGUAGUUCAUCAAGAUCGUCACCACGCCGUCGUGCUGACGAAACUCUUCCCCGACACUUUGCUGGAUCGGAGUCCGGGGAUCGUCAUCGAGCUGAACGUGUGCUCGAACUCGGAGGUGCCGUAGUUUCGGUGCUUGAUCGGUUGGAUCGUGAAGACGUACGACUACUUCCUCUACGUCGUGUCAUCGCUUCCGCAGUCGGUCUGCGUUGGGUACGUAGACAACACUCUCCUCUCGUUGCUAUGCAUCACAUGAUCCUGUGUGCGCGUAGGAAAAUUUUUGAAAUUACUACGAAACCUAACAAGAACAUCCUAAAAUACCUGAAAAGGACUAAGGAUAUGUUUCUCGUAUAUGGAGGUGACAAAGAGCUCACCGUAAAAGGUUACGUUGAUGCAAGCUUUGACACUGAUCCGGACGAUUCUAAAUCGCAAACCGGAUACGUGUUUACAUUAAACGGUGGAGCUGUCAGUUGGUGCAGUUCUAAACAAAGCGUUGUAGCGGGAUCUACAUGUGAAGCGGAAUACAUAGCUGCUUCGGAAGCAGCAAAUGAAGGAGUCUGGAUGAAGGAGUUCAUAUCCGAUCUAGGUGUCAUACCUAGUGCAUCGGGUCCAAUGAAAAUCUUUUGUGACAAUACUGGUGCAAUUGCCUUGGCAAAGGAAUCCAGAUUUCACAAAAGGACCAAACACAUCAAGAGACGCUUCAACUCCAUCCGGGAUCUAGUCCAGGUGGGAGACAUAGAGAUUUGCAAGAUACAUACGGAUCUGAAUGUUGCAGAUCCGUUGACUAAGCCUCUUCCACGAGCAAAACAUGAUCAGCACCAAAGCUCCAUGGGUGUAAGAUUCAUUACAGUGUAAUCUAGAUUAUUGACUCUAGUGCAAGUGGGAGACUGAAGGAAAUAUGCCCUAGAGGCAAUAAUAAAGUUAUUAUUUAUUUCCUUAUAAUCAUGAUAAAUGUUUAUUAUUCAUGCUAGAAUUGUAUUUACCGGAAACAUAAUACAUGUGUGAAUACAUAGACAAACAGAGUGUCACUAGUAUGCCUCUACUUGACUAGCUCGUUAAUCAAAGACGGUUAAGUUUCCUAACCAUGAACAAUGAGUUGUUAUUUGAUUAACGAGGUCACAUCAUUAGUAGAAUGAUCUGAUUGACAUGACCCAUUCCAUUAGCUUAGCACCCGAUCGUUUAGUAUGUUGCUAUUGCUUUCUUCAUGACUUAUACAUGUUCCUAUGACUAUGAGAUUAUGCAACUCCCGUUUACCGGAGGAACACUUUGGGUACUACCAAACGUCACAACGUAACUGGGUGAUUAUAAAGGAGUACUACAGGUGUCUCCAAUGGUCGAUGUUGGGUUGGCGUAUUUCGAGAUUAGGAUUUGUCACUCCGAUUGUCGGAGAGGUAUCUCUGGGCCCUCUCGGUAAUACACAUCACAUAAGCCUUGCAAGCAUUACAACUAAUAUGUUAGUAGUGAGAUGAUGUAUUACGGAACGAGUAAAGAGACUUGCCGGUAACGAGAUUGAACUAGGUAUUGGAUACCGACGAUCGAAUCUCGGGCAAGUAACAUACCGAUGACAAAGGGAACAACGUAUGUUGUUAUGCGGUCUGACCGAUAAAGAUCUUCGUAGAAUAUGUAGGAGCCAAUAUGGGCAUCCAGGUCCCGCUAUUGGUUAUUGACCGGAGACGUGUCUUGGUCAUGUCUACAUUGUUCUCGAACCCGUAGGGUCCGCACGCUUAAGGUUACGAUGACAGUUAUAUUAUGAGUUUACAUGUUUUGAUGUACCGAAGGAGUUCGGAGUCCCGGAUGAGAUCGGGGAUAUGACGAGGAGUCUCGAAAUGGUCGAGACGUAAAGAUUCAUAUAUUGGAUGAUAUGGUUAGGCCAAGGGGUCAAGCCCAUGAGGCUUUAGAUCGGCGCAAAAAGGAGUUUUGUGGAGGCCAGGGGGCCAAACGCCGGAGACCCUCGUGUCUGGCCCUGGGCCAGACGCCGAGUCCCAUGGCGUCUGGGCCAGACGCCAAGGAUUGUGGCGUUUGGUCCUGGAGUCCGAGUGGGACUCUUGCCUUUCGGGAAAAACCGACUUUGAGGAGGCUUUUGCUCCAAGUUUCGACCCCGGGGCUCAACAUAUAAAUAGAGGGGCAGGGCUAGCACCAAAGACACAACAAUUGAUCCCUUGGAUCUCUUAGCCAUGUGCGGUGCCCCCCUCCACCAUAGUCCACCUCGAUAAUAUCGUAGCGGUGCUUAGGCGAAGCCCUACGACGGUAGAACAUCAAGAUCGUCACCACGCCGUCGUGCUGACGGAACUCUCCCUCGACACUCGGCUGGAUCGGAGUUCGAGGGACGUCAUCGAGCUGAACGUGUGCUAGAACUCGGAGGUGCCAUAGUUUCGGUGCUUGAUCGGUCGGGCCGUGAAGAUGUACGACUACAUCAACCGCGUUGUGCUAACGCUUCCGCUUACGGUCUACAAGGGUAUGUAGACAACACUCUCCCCUCUCGUUGCUAUACAUCACCAUGAUCUUGCGUGUGCGUAGGAAAUUUUUUGAAAUUACUACGAAACCCAACACCUCGUACCUGCACAAAACAAAUAAAUCCUCGCAACCAACGCAAAUAGGGGUUGUCAAUCCCUAUAAGGCCACUUACGAGAGUGAGAUCUGAUAGAUAUGAUAAAAUAAUAUUUUUGGUAUUUUUAUGAUAAAAGAUGCAAAGUAAAAUAAAGGCAAAGUAAAUAGAAAAGGAAAUAACUAAGUAGUAGGAGAUCAAUAUGAUAAAGAUAGACCCGGGGGCCAUAGGUUUCGCUAGUAGCUUCUCUCAAGAGCAUAAGUAUUCUACGGUGGGUGAACAAAUUACUGUUGAGCAAUUGACAGAAUUGAGUAUAGUUAUGAGAAUAUCUAGGUAUGAUCAUGUAUAUAGGCAUCACGUACGAGACAAGUAGACCGACUCCUGCCUGCAUCUACUACUAUUACUCCACUCAUCGACCGCUAUCCAGCAUGCAUCUAGACACUACAAGAAAAAUACACUUCCAUGAUGAUACGUGUUUGUCACAGUAGGUCGCAUUUUCUGUCAUGCAUGUACAUCCAUGACGAUUUUAUGACAGAAUCAAGAUAGUCAUACUUGUGCUGUCGUAGAAGUGUUCCAUCACAUUACCAAAAUUAUCAUCACGGAAGUGUCCACUUCCAUGACGAUAAAUCCCGCGUCACAGAAGUGCUUUCGUCAAGGGUGACCGACACGUCGCAUCCACCAUAACGGAACGCCGUUAAGCUAUCGAGUCGGGUUUUGGAUCCAAUAACCCGUUAACAGCCCCGACCAAUGGGGAUUUCCACGUGUAAAAUCAUCAUUGGCUGGAGGAAACACGUCCCGGCUCAUCGUUGGGGCAGAUGCCAUCCACUCAUUGAACAGAAGGCGCCUAUGAUAUGUUGACACGUGGCACGGCCCAACAGAGGCCCAUUCCUGUGAAAAUGCCGGCCCGUUUGACUUGGUCAAAAGGUGGCGGGUCGGCCCAUGUAAAGCUGUUAACGGCAUGUUCGCAUAUAGCCCAUUUACAGCCCGCUAACCCAAGGCCCGUUACGCCCUAUCCGAAUUAGGCCCAGUAGAGUCAUCUGGGCCACCCAAUAUGAUUCCAGUCCGCUUUCACUUCUGGCACAUGUAUGGCCCAUGACGUCUUUCGGCCCAUAUGAGGCCCUAUGUAACUCUUGGCCUAUUAACGGCCUGUGGUAAAACUGGCCCGUAAUGAAUAGUGUAUCACUUUACACCCAUUAACGGCCCGUGGUGAAACUGGCCCGUAAUGAACAGUGUAUCACUUUAUACGCAUUAACAGCCCGUUAUUCCGUUGGGCCGUUUCCAGCCCAUGUUAUCUUUCGGCCUUCUCAGAGCCCAUUUAUUCUUGGGCUCAUUUCCAGCAUUCGUUUACUUACGGCCUGUUACUGUCAUUUUCUGCUUGUGGGCCAAAUUCAGCCCGUGGUUACAGUCGGCCUGUUUGUGGUCCAUUAAUACGUUGGGCCGUUUUCAUAGCGUCAUCAAAUACGGCCUAUUAACGAUGGCCCGUUAUGGUCGGCCCAUGAACGGACGAUUCCAACUCUAGCCCGUUUAUGGCCAUAAUGCGGCCUGUUAUUGGCCCAUGUUUGGCCAAUCGAUCAUACUGCCCGUAUAAGGCCCAUUGAUGAUAUGGCCCGUAGAAGGCCCAUUGUUUCUACGGCCCGUAGAAGGCCCACUGUUUCUACGGCCCGUAGAAGGCCCACUAUUUCUACGGCCUGUAGGAGGCCCAAUGUCACUACAGUAAAUAUUAGCCCAUGGUUAUUGUGGCCUAGUUUUAAAAAAUAGGUUAUUGCAGCCACUAGCAAACCGCGGAAAAAGAACUACAAUGACUACAAGCAAACAAAUAAACAAGACAACAAAGAAAUAAAUAAGAAAACAACUUAUGCUAGGCUAUCACGGCUAUCACACAUAUUACAUCCACUGAGCAUCAAAGUUCGCCAGCAGUGCAAAUAAACGCGCCGACAAAAGAAUAUACAAAACUGAGAGCACUUCAGAAGGCACUAGGCCUGGCCAGGUCGGGCCGCCCAAACAGCUGAAGAAGCUGAGUAGACCUUAGUUGUGUCAAUGAUAGAUGCAUCAACACUAGAUUAAAGGCAUGAUGGUGCGCACGACAGUCCUCUGACAUCUUCAUUGCAUCUUUGACUUCAAGUCGGAGCUGAGCUGAAGCAAGCCUUUCCGCUUUAAGUUGAGACUGAAGAAGUCAAACUAAUUGAGGCAGCGACUGCACAGAGGUUGUCUCACACCUGCUGGUGAGUAGCUUCAACUCACUGUCUUCAUCAAGACCGGACCUUGGGGUCAUCUCGCUGUCCUCAAGAUGGUUUGGCUCACUAUCUUCCCUAAAGUUCUACCUGGCGUAAGAGAUACGAGUCUGAAAGAGAAACAAGGAGACACGUAACAGGUUUCACAACUAUAUAAGCAAAUAAAUGGAUCUGUUCUGCAUAAGGAACAUGUUUUUACAACUACAAUUUGAAACUGAUAGUUGUUGCAAACAUCCAAUCAGAUGUAAACAGCAAAGCAAACAGCAGUGGAGGAAAUGAUGCCUAUCCAAAUCUAUACUAGAAAAAAGUUUGAAGACUUGAGAAGGAUGAACUUACAUUACAUGUUAACACAGGCUGGACAAAGCCCUUCUCCAUGUUAAUGGAAGGAUAAUUCAAUAAAUUCCCCAAAGAAAAUUCUUUAUAAGCGUUGCCAUUAUUCUAUAUUUUGCAAAGAGUAAAUAUAGAUCAAAUAAUAUUGGAAGAAACAGAGGAUAAUGAAGCUCAGGUGCAGACUGAUGAUACAUAAUCAAAUAGCAAUUAAUUAAGUAUAGCGUUACAAGGCAAAAGGGAGAGAGGUACAGUCUUUCACGGACAUAGGGAGUAGGUUGAGCACUUGAGCAUGAGCGUGUGUGUUGCGUCGUGUGCUGUGUGCCGCAUGGGUGCGUGAGUGUUGCGGUGUGUCCAUGUGUACAUGUGAGUGCUGCAUGUUGCAUGCAUGCAUGCAUGCAUGGGGCUUACUCCCUCCCAUUGACAUGUUCAUAUUUCAAGCUUCCUCUGUUCCCUCCAUAUGGUGAUACUCCAUCUGUUCCCAAAUAGUGCGGAGUAAAACCCUCCCUCUGUUUCCAAAUAUGGAGUAUUUGUCUUUCUACAGAUUUCAACAAGUGACUAGGUACGGAGCAAAAUGAGUGAAGUGAGCGUAGAGGCAUAGGGAUACUGUAGAAAGGAAGUCCUCGCGAUCCAUUAUUCCCCAUCUCGGUCAGAGAUAACUAUUCAACUAGUCUUCGCAGUGAAGUGACAAUACACGCUGCAGCAGAUGGGACACGUAAUUAAUAAGCUGAACCAGCGUGUUGGUGUUACUAAAUCAGCCUUACCCAGUACUGCCUCCUCCUCUCUUGUUCUUCCUCCUCUCUUCCCCAUCGUCGACCGCACACCAUUUACCCCCGCUCACUGCUCGCCCGCCCGCGCCAUCUUCCUUGGUAGCUCGCGCGUACCAUAUCCCCCCGCUCACUGCUCGGCCACAUGAGGAGAAGCUUCUUCGCUCGCCCGCCCAAAUCCACUUCCCCGCUGGCUCGCAGGCACCGAAAACCGCAAUGGCAGAACCGACUGACACGCAGAGCCGCGAUUGGAAUUCCCUCCCCGGUGUUCUCUUGGAGCAGAUCUGUAGUCGUAUGGACCUACUCAGCACCGUCCAUCUGGCCGCAUGCUCGGUGUCUUUGUACCGUCUACUCGUCUGCAACCGGCCGGCUCUUUUCAAGACACACUGCUUGUUGAUGCCCGAUCCUCGCAGGUGGCCCAGACACCGACUUGACGAUCCUACGGAGGUUGCCGUGGUGCCCCUUGACAUGCUACCACUACCCGUCCACCUGUCCUUCAUGCGCGGCCACUACUGGGCGGGCAUGAAGGCCAACUUGAUCGUCCUCAUCCACCACACCGGUAGUCUGUGGCGUCUCGUGGAUAUCUACACCCAGCGAGAGAUCACCCUUCCAUCGUUGGAUACCGCCACCAUCGAGCCUCGCGGCCCGCCGGACACUCCUGCCUACUACGCACGAGACGCGUCAAGCUUUUGGCUCGACCUCUGUUUGCAGAAAGUUGUAAUCUGCGAAGUGCCCACACCAUCAGAAGACUACAUGGAUUAGAAGCUCAUUGCCUUGUUCAACAUGGGAUUAGUCUAUCUGGAAUCCGGUCGCCAUACAUGGUUAUGGCUCAUCAUCAAUCAUGUUCAGGCAACAUUUCUGUCUAAUGCUAUAGUGCACGAUGGCAUCGUUUACGCGGUCGACGCACAGAUUGGUUGCCUAUACUGGUGGAAUCUAUCGUUGUGUAAUUGUUUUAUCUCAUCUCAUCUUUACCUUAUGAAUACGACUGUCUAUUCAUUUGUUACAAAUUUAGAAUGCAUAGCAUGUCUAUAACCACAUCAUUGCUAUAUGUUCCUCUCAUUUCCUAGAUUUUUAUGACCACACAUGUUAUUGUUAGAGUUGAUAUGAGAACAAUUGGCAUCUAAUGAUUGUUAGAAUACAUAUUAUGAGCAUAACAUCAUGAUUGCUAUAUGUUACUCUCAUUUAUGAGAUUUUUAUAACAACGCAUGUUAUUGCUUAGAGUUAAUAUGAGAACAGUAGUAGUAAGUGCUAUGGUAGAAUAUGAGUAGGCGUUGUCAUAGCUGUUUUCCUCUCGUUGUUACAUGAUGUUUGAACCAUGACAUAUUGCUAGAAUAUGAAAGCCAUUGGCUUAUUUUAUUUUAACUUGGGGUAUGAUUAUGACCACGGCAUUGCAAUUCUCUGUCUAUGAUAUGUGUCACUGUUAUAAUAAUCUUAAUUCCACACAUACUCUGAACAUGAUUGUUUAUUUUUGUCCUUUUGGUCUCCAAUUUGAAUUGUUGCAGUAGAUGCAAAUGCGCUGGCCUUCAUGAUUCUAGGACCUGGAACCAUACCAGCCGAUGGGUGGUGGUUUAUCGCUCGUUCAGCUGACGGCAGUCAUUUGAUGCUCAUUCGCACGUACCAAAUUGACCAAACCAUUACAUCAAACCACAUGCAUUACAAUGCGUGGGGCGUUCGUGACAUUGAUGGCUAUGGCUGCUUCGUGUUCGAGAAAGAUCCCAGCUCCAUUGGGCCAGGCGUAUUCAACUGGAGGCGGGUUUACAACCUCGGCAACCACUCCUUGUUCCUCGGGCUCAAUUAUCUGAUCAUCCAACCAAUCAUCGAUCAUGUCACCGGCGAUGAUUAUUGUGCUAUGCAACUUCCAUUCGCGAGGGGGUCUGUGUUUACACAUCAUACCAUGGGUUUCAUGAAUCACCAUAUCCAGAGAUUCGUCGACACAUCUUGUUGCCAGAUAAUCUUCAGUGUGUGAAAGGCAUCAAGCUUCCAUGCGAUGGAUGGCUUUUGCAAACCCGGCAUGCGGGGAUGUGGUUCAUGCCAACAGCAAAUAUGCACAACUUGAUUCGUGUUGAUAUCUAGACUAAGCCAUGUAUUCUGCUGCUAUAGCACGACCCUCUUUUGUUGGAUAUUAUGUAAUGUUGUUAGUUUGAAGCACUCCUCUGGUUUGAAGGAUAGAUACCUUCCUGGGAUCAAGUGCAUCCUAACUCACCUGCGUAGGAUGUACUGAUAAUGAUGAUGAAGAUGUUGUGCAGAAGCCAUAUAUAUCAGUUAGGCUUUAAGUGCAUACUUAUUAGUUAAACCUAUGUAUAAAUUGUGACACUAAAUAUGACUAGUAAGUACUCCAGUACAGUAGCAGUACUAGUAUACGUUGGUCAAAUUAUUCAUCAUGUCCACACAUUGAAUUGACGUGACAACACGCUGCGCAUGAGGUGACACAAGAAUCCCGGCGACAUGUUCGGGUAUUCUGGACUUCAGAUUUGGAGUACCACUUAUCUGUCGAAAUCUUUCAUCAUUCACUUAAAACAGUCGAUUGAUCAUACAUUGAGUACCAUAUAACUGGAAUUACUGAUGUAAGUCGAAGAAGGAUUGGCUGGUGCUGCCGGCUGGCGUCAAGUUCCAUCCCACGGAUCAGGAGCUGAUCGAGCACCUUGAGGCCAAAGUGAGUGCUGACAGCGCGAGAUUUCAGUCUUUCAUCGAUUUGUUCAUACCAACCAUCGACAGCGAGCACGGCAUAUGCUACACCCAACCUGAGAAACUUCCAGGUAAGACACCGAUCGGUCGUCUACUUGCACAAACAUAUUCCUUUGUUUAUAGCUCUAUUUUUAUUUUUAAACGCAGACCUGGUGAAGCAAUUACAAUUUGACAGUUAAUAAAAAGUGAAACAAGUGACUGCAACAUGCCAAAGAUGUUAUGAAAAUGCCAACUAGGUACACUAAAACCUGUAUUCCAUAAUACUGCAGGUAUCACACUGAGUGGCCUAAGGAAGCAUUUGUUCCAGCGCAAUUCCAGGGCGUUCAAAAGGGGCACAUGGACGUGUCGCAAGAUAAAGUCAGAGUGCGGCAUGCACGCGAUGUGGCACAAGACCGGCAAUACCUUGCCGGUGAUGGUCAACGGCCGGCAGACGGGCAGCAAAAAAGGUUCUGGUGUUGCACACCAACAAGAACUUCGACCAGCAGAGGUCCAACUGGGUGAUGCACCAAUACCACCUCGGGGACCUGGAGCAAGAGAAGGAGCAGGAGCUGGUCCUCUGCAAGAUUUUCUACCAGACGAACACUAGGGCCAGGAGUAAAAAGAUUAUAAGUUAGUUUGGUAUUGGUAGUUGUACUACCUUAUCGUCCACAAGUUGGUAUUGUUGUUAACGAUCUUUUGGUAUGAACUUGCAUUUAGUUCCAACCAUCAUGCCGAGGGUCGACGUGGAUAUAAAGCUGAAUCAUUUGUUUCGAAACGAAUUUUCAGGCACCUGAUUUUUAUUUGAUGGGUAGCAUAAGCACCCGCCGUUCGAAUUCCCGGUUCUCCAAUUUUUUCGAAACAAGUGCAUGCACUUAUUAUCAUGAUAAAAAACAAUAUCCAUGCUGCAUCCCAGUUAUCAGUUUGUACUUGCAGAAUUCUCUCGUUUAUUGAGCACGUAUAUUGUUUUUUCAAGUCGAGCAAGUUUCAACUGGGCUGUAGACUGCCUAGGGUUGGUUUUGUUUUUAACGGGCCCAGCCCAUGACGACAAGGGGGCACAAAGAUCUAGCAGGUAUCUACUGGCCUCUGGCCCGCCAGCGUUAGUUAUAUUUUGUCUUACAACAUCCGAGGCAGUUUUUUUACUGAAUCAAACACACAGCCCAGUUCUAUUAUCCUCUUGAAACACAUGCCCUACAUCUGUUUUCUAAUCUUUACCUAUAGUUUUACUAGUUCAUAUACACGUAUCAUUAUAUUGAAAACACAUAAAAUUUCCUUUUCAUAUUUACAUCCUUAUUUUUGUUGUUUUUCCCACCCAGCACUGAUUUUUUUUACCACUGGUUUUCCCUUAAACCAACUCAAUUGUCCCACGUCUUAUUUGCUUACAAAAACAAAACGAUUUUUUUGGCAAAUCAAUAAGUUCUUAAAAAAUGAUUAUCAUUUCAGGAUUACAACAGUUCAGACUUCAUCGAAAUACGCAAAAUAAGGUUGAACUUUUUGGCCGUGGUCCUGGACAGAAAAUGGGCUGUAAUAAAUUACUUAAGAAUUAGCAAAUGGGCUGCAAAUUAUAAAAAAUAGCAAAUGGGCUUUAUGUUGUCUGUCACAGAUUUGGAGGCUGACUUGUGGGCCUACUAAGUUCAUGCAUACACAAGGUCUCUCAAAAAAGAAACUUAGUUAACAAUCGACUCUACCAGCGUCAGACCGUUAGAUGUCAAUUUAACGGCAAUCGUGCUUCUUCAGUCUCUGAUCUUCCUGCCCCAGCCGCCCAAACCAGCACCGUCGGAAUCGCCUCCUCCCGCCUCCCAUGGCCGGCAGUGCUGCCGGGCAGGCCUCACGGCCCCAUCAUACUCGCAUACCUGGCCUGUCUAUCCCUCUACUCACCCAGACCUCCUGUUAUUUUCCGGCGACGGUAGCCGAACCAGUCAACCCUCGUACUCUCCACCACGUGGGCAGCCACUGCCGUGUCUUCCCCAGCUCCGUGUCGUUCCCUUCGUAGGCAUCGCUGUCGUCCACCGCCCUGGAGCUCUCGGCGCGGCGUGGUCAACGAUGUCCAUCCAACGGCCGUAGUGCUUCUUCAACCUCUGGUCUUCUUACCCCGGCCGCCCAAAGCAGCGCCGGUCGUGCCGCAUGCUCCUACCUCCCGUGGCCGGCUGUGCUGCCACGGAGGCCUCACCAUCCCCAUACUAUUCCCACCGCUCGCCAGGCCAUCCCUCCACUCACCCACUCCCCCUGUUAUUCUGCGGCGACGGCAGCCUCACACCACAGCCGAACCAGUGAACCCUCGUAUUCCCCUCCGCGUGGGCAUCCACUGCCGCGUCUUCCCCGGCUCCGCGUCGUCCCCUUCCUAGGCCUCGUCGUCGUCCACCGCCGUGGUGCUCUCGGCGCGGCAUGGUCAAUGUGGUCAAUGACCAACUUUCAUCGGAAGAGUACUGUACGUGGAGAGGCUGACAGCUGGGUCCACGGCAGCCGCAAGGAAGUGCCUCCUUAUUACACGCAAAAUAAUUAUUCCUCCACCUGACAGCAGGGACCUACCGGACGGGCCACCAGUAUUUCGGGGAAAAAAUGUUUCCCCCCUGACUGCUGGGACCCAUCGGACGGGCCACCGUAUUUUGCGAAAAAAAUGUUUGCCCCUGACUGCUGGGACCCACCGGACGGACCACCAUAUUUCGCGAAAAAAUGUUCCCCUCGCUGUCAGCUCGGACCCACCGAAAGUGCCUCCUUAUUACGCACAGAAAAAUGAAUACUCCCCCUGCUAGCUGGGACCCACUAUGGUGGGAGGCUAACUUGUGGGCCUACUAAGUUGACGGGGACGGAGGGCUUUGUCAACUUAGUCAAUAUGAACGAUUCUAGCUCUAGUGACCGUACGAUGUCCAUCGAACGGCCAUCGUGCUUCUUCAAUCUCUGCUCUUCCUGCUCCAGCCGCUCAAACAAGCGCCGACGGGACUGCCUGCUCCCUCCUCCCCGCGGCCAGCUGUGCUGCCGCGUAGGCCUCACUGCCCCAUCAUACUCCCAUCGCUAGCCUAGCCAUCCCUCUACUCACCCACACCUAAUGUUCUUCUCCAGCGACGGCAGACGAACCAGUAAACCCUCAUACAGUCGUACUCCCCCCCCCCGCGUGGGAAACAACUGCCGAGUCUUCCCUGCCUCCGUGUCGUUCCCUUUCUAGGCCUCGUCGUCGUCCACCGCACUGGUGCUCUCAGCGCGGCCUGGUCAACAUGGUCAACGACCAACAUGCAUCUGAAGUGGACUGUACGUGGAGAGGCCGAUAGCUGGGUCCACGGCCUCACGCAAGGAAAUGCCUCCUUAUUACGCGCAAAAUAAUGAUUCCUAAACCUAACAUUAGGGACCCACCGAAAGGGCCUCUGUAUUUCAUGAAAAAAAUGUUACCGCCGCUGACAGCUCGGACCCACCAGCUAUAUCUUCGCACGCAAGAAAGUGCCUCCUUAUUAUGCACAAAAAAAAUGAAUACUCCCCAUGUUAGCUGGGCCCAGUAUAGUGGCAGGCUGACUUGUGGGCCUACUAAGUUGACGGGGACGGAGGGCUUUGUCAACUUAGUCAAUAUGCACGAUUCUAGCUCCAGUGACCAUACGAUGUCCAUCCAACGGCCGUAGUGCUUCUUCAACCUCUGGUCUACUUGCUCCAGCCACUCAAACCAGCGUCGGUCGUGCCUUGUGCUCCUGCCUCCCGUGGCCAGCUACGAUGCGGUGGAGGCCUCACCGCCCACUACUACUCCCACAGCUGGCCAGGCCAUCCCUCUACUCACCCACACCCCCUGUUAUUCUGCGGCGACGGCAGCCUCACACCGCAGCGAACCAGUGAACCCUCGUACUCCUCUACGCGUGGGCAUCCAUUGCCACGUCUUCCCCAGCUCUGCAUCAUCCCCUGCCUAGGCCUCGCCGUCGUCCACCGCCCUAGUGCUCUCGGCGCGGCGUGGUCAAUGUGGUCAAGAAACGGCUUCCAUCGAACGUGGACUGUACGUGGAGAGGCUGACAGCUGGGUCCACGGCCGCAGCAAGGAAGUGCCUCCUUAUUAUGUGCAAAAUAAUUAUUCCUCCACCUGACAGCGGGGACCCACCGGACGGGCCACCGUAUUUCGCAAAAAAACGUUUCCCCCCUGACUGCUGGGACCCACCAGCUACACCUUCGCACACAAGGAAGUGCGUUCGGGCAAAAAAACGAUUCGCCCCCCUGACUGCUGGGACCCACCAGCUACAUCUUUGCAAGCAAGGAAGUGCCUGACAGUCGGGACCUACCUGGUCGAAGCAUACGUAGCGUUGUCAUUCUGGUCGCGAACGUGUACGUACAUACUGGCUGAUGUAGAGGCGUGCACGUGUCGUAGUAGAGGCGCACACGUGUCGUAGUAGAGGCGCGCACGUAGCAUGUACACGUACAUACAGCGGCCAUGGUGCAAGAAAGAAAAUACGGCCAUGUAUGUGUACAUACGGGCAGGGUCUCGAACGCCUACUCACGCAUAUGUACGGCCAGGGCCCGUGUACAUGGCUGGGUCGGAACGGAGAAAUAGCGUUGUCGUCGUGUUCAUGGGGAGGCAACGGAAUGCGUCGUGUUCAUGGGGAGGCAACAGAAUGUGUCGUGUUCAUCGGGAGGCAACGGAAUGCGUCGUGUUCAUUGAGAGGCAACGGAACGCGUGGGAGCCAACCGGCUGGGUCGGAACGGAAUGCGUGGUCGUGUUCAUCGGGAGGGCUUGGACGGAACAAGCGAUGGAAACGAGGCCUGGCGUACCGCAAAAGGAGGAAACGGACCUCCUACGGUCGAAAUGGGGGUCCGGUUGAUCGGGAGGGGUGUGGCGUACCGCAAAACGGAGGAAACGGACCUCCUACGGUCAAAACGGGGGUCCUGUUGAUCGGGAGGGGUGUGGCGUACCGCAAAACGGACAAAACGGGCUUGUGUUGGAGCGCUACGGUCGAAACGGGGGUCCUGUUCAUCGGGAGGGGUGUGGCGUACCGCAAAACGGGACUCCACGGGAUACUGUUCAUCUCCACCACCGACCUCCUCCAGCCUCCACGGGCUACUGUCGACCUCCUCCAGCCUCCACGGGCUCCUGUUCAUCCAGCCUCCACCGCGCGCUACUCCACCGGCUACUGUUCAACUACCCCUCUAUCGUCUACUGUUCAUUCAGCCCUCCACACCACGGGGUCAUGUUNNNNNNNNNNNNNNNNNNNNNNNNNNNNNNNNNNNNNNNNNNNNNNNNNNNNNNNNNNNNNNNNNNNNNNNNNNNNNNNNNNNNNNNNNNNNNNNNNNNNNNNNNNNNNNNNNNNNNNNNNNNNNNNNNNNNNNNNNNNNNNNNNNNNNNNNNNNNNNNNNNNNNNNNNNNNNNNNNNNNNNNNNNNNNNNNNNNNNNNNNNNNNNNNNNNNNNNNNNNNNNNNNNNNNNNNNNNNNNNNNNNNNNNNNNNNNNNNNNNNNNNNNNNNNNNNNNNNNNNNNNNNNNNNNNNNNNNNNNNNNNNNNNNNNNNNNNNNNNNNNNNNNNNNNNNNNNNNNNNNCAAUGCUCACUGUUCAUCCCAGAGGCAGCAUCGAUCGGCUUCAGUUAGCAGCAGUAGCGAAGGAAUCGCUCGAUCAGGUUCAGUUAACAGUCAUCGAUCGAUCGCUCGGGUUCAGUAACGCGUAGCCUGCAGUGCAAUCGCUCGGGUUCAGUUAGAGCCCAACGCCUCGCUCGGGUUCAUUUAGAGCCAACGCCUCGCACACACGCGCGUACGUGUAUGAGAGAAAUGUGCAUCGCUCGGCCCCCGACCUCCCACCGUAACCGGGAACUCCCCGAAAAUUUUCUCCCCCUCGCUUCUACCAUGGUUUUUCCGUCAUGGACGGCCCAAAGAAUGUCAUGCAGCUGCGUCUCCGGCCCGCCCAGGACGAAAAGCCCAUUUUCUGUCAUGAUUUUUUGUCAUAGAAGUAGGAGCCCACCACAUCUAUGAUGAUACCGGGUUUUGUCACAAUUAUUGUCAUAGAAGUGUCAUAUGUAUGACAGAAAAAAUUCGUUCGGCCCAAAAUAUCACGGAUGUGUCUUUUUUUGUAGUGAGAGUAUUAAGUUAAAAACAGAGUAACGCCUUAAGCAAGAUGACAUGAUGUAGAGGGAUAGACUCAUGCAAUAUGAAGAAAACCCCAUCUUGUUAUCCUCGAUGGCAACAAUACAGUACGUGCCUUGCUGCCCCUACUGUCAAUGGGAAAGGACACCGCAAGAUUGAACCCAAAGCUAAGCACUUCUCCUAUUGCAAGAAAGAUCAAUCUAGUAGGUCAAACCAAACUGAUAAUUCGAAGAGACUUGCAAAGAUAACCAAUCAUACAUAAAAGAAUUCAGAGAAGAUUCAAAUAUUGUUCAUAGAUAGACUUGAUCAUAAACCUACAAUUCAUCGGUCUCAACAAACACACCGCAAAAAGAAGAUUACAUCGAAUAGUUCUCCACAAGAGAGGGGGAGAACAUUGUAUUGAGAUCCAAAAAGAGAGAAGAAGCCAUCUAGCUACUAACUAUGGACCCGUAGGUCUGAGGUGAACUACUCACACUUCAUCGGAGGGGCUAUGGUGUUGAUGUAGAAGCCCUCCGUGAUCGAUGCCCCCUCCGGCGGAGCUCCGGAAUAGGCCCCAAGAUGGGAUCUCGUGGAUACAGAAAGUUACGGCGGUGGAAUUAGGGUUUUGGCUCCGUUUCUGAUCGUUUGGGGUACGUGGAUAUAUAUAGGAGGAAGGAGUACGUCGGUGGAGCAACAGGGGGCCCACGAGGGUGGAGGGCGCGCCCCCCUACCUCGUGGACUCCUCGUUUCUUUCUUGACGUAGGGUCCAAAUCUCCCGGGUCUUGUUCGUUGAGAAAAUCACGUUCCCGAAGGUUUCAUUCCGUUUGAUAUUCCUUUUCUUCGAAACCCUAAAACAGUCAAAAAACAACAAUUCUGGGUUGGACCUCCGGUUAAUAGGUUAGUCCCAAAAAUAAUAUAAAAGUGGAUAAUAAAGCCCAAUAAUGUCCAAAACAGUAGAUAAUAUAGCAUGAAUCAAUAAAAAAUUAUACAUACAUUGAAGAUGUAUCAGUACUUAUUUUUUUAAUGGCCUUUCUUCCUGUACUCAUUCGCUCAACUCCAUGCUUUCCUGAUCAUCCUCUUCCUCUUAUCACCUGCUAGGCAUUUAACCAAACAGGGUAAAUGCAGAAAGGUGCAUUCUACAAACCAUGUGAAUGAGAUCGACAUGGAUUGAUUGAUCAAAUAAUGAAAAUCUAAGAAAUCUAAAUCUCCAAAAGAAUGCAAACAAUCUUCAGGCUAUGUAACUGUACCCACAUGUUUGCUUCAAAUAAUUGAUUAUGAAAAGAAAAGGGAGUGCAAUGUAGUUGGGUGAGUUAAAUCCACAGGACCAUCACAUUCGUGUCACGAUUAGUGGAAAACCACCGCUUUACGUUUCAUGACAGUUUGCCCUGAACCAAAAAUUUGACAGGCGCAAAAAACACUGAGUCAUUUUCUGAGCGCGUUUUGGCGUGGUUGAUCACUUGUCGGCCGGCAGCAGUGAAGGCACGCCGUUAACGGACGUCAACGGCCGGUCGGGAACCGCGGUCAAGCCCAGGCGUUAACGGGUGUCAAAGAUUCAUGAUUAAAAAUAUUAAUGAAAUUGAACAAAAUGUCCACCAAUUCAAAAAAUGUUCAUGAAUUUGAAAAAUAUCCUAAAAAUUCAAAAAAUGUUCAUGAAUUGCAAACUAAUCUAUUGAUUUUUUUAAUGUUCGUUGAUUCAGAAAAUGAUCAAGAUUUUUUAAAAAUGUUCAUUAAAUAAAAAAAGUUCAUGAAUUUUAAAAAUUGUUCCACCAAUCUCCAAAAAGAUGUUCAUACAUUAUAGAAAUGUUCCCGAUUAAAAAAUAUUCACAAUAAUAAAAGAUAUUUGCAAAUAUUAUAAAAUGUUCAUGAUUUUAGAAUGUGUUCAAAAAUUUAUAGAAAUGUUUAGGAAUUUGAAAAGGUUCAUGAUUUCAAAUAUGUUUAUGAGUUUCAAAAUAUCUUCAUGAUUUAAAAAAAAUCACAAUUUCAAGAAAAUGUUCACAAUAAAGAAAAGGAACAAAAAAAGAAUAAAAACAGAAAACAGAAAAGAAAAAUGAAGAAGUCAAAAACCCGGUUCAGGGAAGGUUCUAGAUUCUUCCCAGAACUGGUGUGGAAGAAAUCCGAAAAUAGGCUGGCCCAAAAUAGGAUCGAAUGCAGGAGAGGCUACAUAUUAGGUUGCUAGGAAACGACCUGCGUGCCAAAUAGGAAACCCCCACGCAGUAGCGGUUGAAAAAAAAUUACAUUUUNNNNNNNNNNNNNNNNNNNNNNNNNNNNNNNNNNNNNNNNNNNNNNNNNNNNNNNNNNNNNNNNNNNNNNNNNNNNNNNNNNNNNNNNNNNNNNNNNNNNNNNNNNNNNNNNNNNNNNNNNNNNNNNNNNNNNNNNNNNNNNNNNNNNNNNNNNNNNNNNNNNNNNNNNNNNNNNNNNNNNNNNNNNNNNNNNNNNNNNNNNNNNNNNNNNNNNNNNNNNNNNNNNNNNNNNNNNNNNNNNNNNNNNNNNNNNNNNNNNNNGUUUGGGAAUCCCCCCACCUGGGCCGGCACAUGGAGUAGCAACCGUGCAAAACGGUUGGGAAAAAAUCCUAAAAAUUUCUUGUGCUACACAUGAAUACAACCGAUUGCUCACGGAUGCAGGUAGUUUUUUUUUUGCAUGGUAAUACGUGUCUCAUUCAUAUCAUAAAGAUUAAAAUACAAGUCACGCAAGAACCGACAUGACAAAACUAAAAAGAUAGCAGAACAUCUCUGAGCUUGACACCAACGCCCAUCACCUGCCUCCGGCACCACGACAGCAGCCACCGAAGAAAAAAAUGAUGGAUCACCUCCUCACCCGAGCUCGACACGGCUCCAUCACUGAUAUGCAGCUUUGCGGACCUCCAAGGUGGCUCACCAAAAGUGAAGCCCUUACCGUUGAACGAAUCAGACCGGGGCAACACCCCGGACACGUCAUCGAACUCCAGAUCUGGCACCCCACCGCGACUAAGACGUCGCGGAAGGAAACCAUACCUGCCAUCCACGAACCACGAACCCAGCACAUGUUCCGUCUUCCAGAUGUCGUCGAUGCAGACCACAAUCUGCAUCCGCUCCUGGACUACCUCCCAAGCUCCGCGCCGACGCUGGAGCAAACGCCGUCGCAACGGCGGAGCCCGAGGACACAGGUCCACCACGAGGAUGCCGCCGCCGCCACGCCAUCCUUGCUUGAACAGACUGGUUUCCAAAUCCAACCCCAACCAUAGGACCAAUGGCCUUGUCAAAUAAGGAUCUGAAGAAUCUUUAUUCAGCGCUGUCAUCGUCGUCGUCGAAACAAAAACGAUGAACAACCUAAAAAUCUAAACUACGAGGGAGUAAAAACGAUCCACACGCGUGGAUCCGGCGACCCCCCUCACCACCGACGAUCGAGGUCGCCGGCGGAGGGGAGCCGCCGGAGGACGGCGCUGGAAGAUUGGGUCUCCUGGCGGCGGCUAGGGUUCCAACCGCCAGGGACAGGAGGAAAACUGCACGGAGGCAGGUAGUUAAACAGUAGAUCUUGUGAGCCUUUGUGACUAUAUACCCGUGUGAAUUUUGAAGAAUUAACUGCAGAGGUAGACCAAGAAUUAACUGCAGAGGUAGACCAGAAUAUUAUAUGUUUUUUACAUUUCUUGGAAUUCAUAAUAAUUCUUUAAGUAAUAUUUUUUUGACAAACACGAUAUUUUUUCCAAAAUGUGAACAACGCUUCAAUUUGUGAAUAAAUUUUAAAAGGGAACAUUUUUUUUCAUUUGUGAACAAAUUCUGAAAAGUGGAAAAAAUUCCUGAACAAAAUUUUGUAAACGAGGCCAUUUUUCUGGAAGGGGGAAUUUUUUUUUGACAUUCUAAACAACUUUUGAAACAUUCGAAUAUUUUUAUAUUUCUGAUUUUUUUUAAUUUCCGCUUUUUGAAAAGGAAUAAUUUUUUGAAAUACAAUCAUUUUUUGAAAAUUCCAAACACUUUAUAAAAGCAAUAAUUUUUUAAAAAAAUUGAACAAAACUUGACAUUUCGAAACAUUUUCUGAAAACAUGAGCAUUUUUUGAAUUUAUGACAUUUGGUAAUCUUUUAGGCUUUAUAGGGCUGAUGUGAAAACAAAGUCAAAAAGAAUUUUGUAAUCACGAAUUGGCAUUUGGUAACUUAUACGAAUUAAACAUCAAUUUCUUAUUCAUCUAUUUUCUUAGUUUUUGUGGAUGAAUGUAUGACCCUCAAGAUUUUAGGCUCUCAAUAAUAUAUGAAGAUUUCAGGAUUUGGUGGUUUUUAGCAUUUUCGUUGUUGUUAGUCUCAAUGGCGGUGAUGAUUAGCAACUGGUGUUGGUUGUUUUGCUUUAAGCUCUCUCCCAAGACUGCAUUGUAUCUUCUUUUUCCUGGGGGUAUUUUGUAUUAGUGUUGGGACACCUGUUGUCUCUCGUGAUUUCUCGAAGAUGAUAUAUUUGUGUUAUCUUCUUCUUUUUGCAAAAUAUAUACAAUUAUUAUUUAAAUGAAGAUCUCAAUGAAAAUGAGAGUGAUAGUGUAUCUCGGUGAUGCGGCAAAAUUUGAUCAUGUCCAUUGAAAUUUAUGGGGGGGAAAAUCCCGUUAUAACACAUGGACCCUUUUACUAAUACCACUAUAUAGUAUGCGAAUAACUUUGAAUAACAACCAUUGGAUGAAGCCGAUCUAACGGUGAAGACGUGGCAAAUCCGAGUGUUAUUGACCGUUGGAUCUUCUCAUUACUUCACUGGAUUCUUCCACGUGUACUAUCUAGAAGAUUCUAUGGUUGGGCUAAAGCCAUAUGGACAUUUUGCACAAAAUUUAAAGCACACUUCUACUUUAUUCUAGACUCUUCCAUACUCAGACUCUCCUAACUUCUUUUUCUAUCGAAACUAUCAUUCAUUUUACUUCGUAUUCAAGUCUAUGUACCUUCAUAAAUCAUAUUUAUCUUUACAGAUACUGUAGAACAUUAGCUUUGAGAUAGCCAAAAAAGAUACCUAGAUAAAACACGCCCAGUAUAUUUUACGUGAUUUUUGUAUGUUAUACUUCAUGCAUAUGCCUCACAAUUUCAUUUGCCGGCAUAACUAGCCAAAAAGGAUACCUAGAUAAAACAGGCACAAUAUAUUUUACAGUAACAAUAUGUCUAUAUUUGGUUGUAGUUUGACUAUACGAGCUCUCACGUGCUAUGCACGUAUAACUUACUAGUACUAAUAGAUAUAGAUAUAGAUUGUGGCAGUUUUUUUUAAUGAAAGUCGACGGGGAAGCCGUUGUAUAGAAAACCCAGCGCCGGCGCUCGCCGUGCCGGAGCCGGAAACCCUCCUCAACGAUGCCGCAUUAAUUGCGCCAAGGUACAAACCGGAUUCACCAAAUCCCACCCCCACCGGGAUCGAAACGGCUUGCCGCCCUACGCUGCAAGCACCUGCCUUUUCUGGCUAAUCACAAUCGCGCCUGACGUUUUAAUCCGCUGCCAACAGCCAGCAGCAGCAUUUGUUUGGAGCUAAGCUGGACUGCUAAUGCCAGAUUACGGGGCUUAAUAAGCCUAGUGCCUACUCCCGCCUAGCUUCUAGGUAUAGCAAUCAUGGCGGGCAGCCGCCGCGUCCGGGAGAAUCCGCGUCGCGCACCUAUAUAUAUUCCAGCCGCCUCGCCGGAGAGCGGCAAGGAGCUAGCCAAGCCAAGCCAAGCCAAGGGCGUCUGAUCUCACCGGAGGAGCAGAGGAGGGAAGCAGAGCAGAGCACGCACGCGCGCCGCAGCCGACCAUGGCGCGCCCCAUGAGGCUCAUGGAGAACGCGCGGGAGCGUGCCAAGGCGCACGCCAAUAGGGCCAAUGCGCUCAAGAAGCAGGCGGAGAAGCUCGCCACGCUCUGCGCGGUCCCAGUCGCGCUCGUCUGCACCGGCGCCGGGGCUCCGCCGCUCGUGUGGGAGUCGGAGGAGGGCGUGCUCGAGAGGUACCGCCGCGCCGUCCCGCCGGAGGCCCGCGCGGGGCACACGCACCGGGACUACCUCGAGGCGGAGCUGGGCAAGCGGAGGGCCAAGCUCGCCAGGGCGCGCCACGGCUGCCCCGCCGCGCUCCCGGACUGGGACGAGGCGCUCAACGACAUGACGCUGGACGACGCGCGGGCGCUGCUCCGGGCCAUCGACGCGGCGCUGCGGGCCACGGGAGACAGGAUGGAGGCGCUAGGCGUGCCUGCUGACCACGGCCACGGCCCACUCGGUGAGCAGGUCGCGCCGGACUCUUCCGACGUCGCCGUCAUGCCGCAGCACUUCUGGCACGACGGCGGCGUGUCCUGGACCGUGGGCGACCCCGUGGACAUGGCCGACGCCGAGGGCUUGCAGCAGCUGCAGAUGGUGCCGUACCACGGCGGGAACAACGACGACCUACUCGAGCAAUUCCCACGGGACCAUGGCUUCCAGAUGCAACCAGGAUGCAACGGCUUCCAAUGCGCCGGCGGCAACUUCUCGGGCGACGGCGACGACGGGAUGCUCGCGCUUGGCCUCGGCAAUGCUGGCUACAACCACUCGGGCUGCGGCGAUGGGAUGCUCGCGCCGGGCUUCGCCAAUGCUGGCUACAACUACUCAGUCGGCGGCGGCGACAAGAUGCUCGCGCCGGGCUUCGGCAACGCUGGUUACAACUGGCCUGAUCUUACCAUGUGGCACACCGACGAGGUGUGCUUCGCCGACGGCACUCUGGCGCCUGAGCACUACUCCGGCGAGGUCGCCGCCGGCGGCGACUACGUGAGCACACUACCAUCUGGGUACGGGUACCCCAUGGCCAUGGGCAUGGACGUCGGCGACAACUUCACCAGUCUGGAGAGCAACUACACGGCGGCGCAUUGGCAAGCCAAGGCGCUCCAUCGCUCCAACGCCAACGCCAGCGCCAGCACCAUGUCAGGCUCAGCCUUGAUCAUCCCCUGUUUCCAGCAUGCCAGAAGUGUUUUGGUCCGUCGAUCGUCAAUCUAACGGCUCACCUGCCUUCGUACCGGUUCGCCAGCUAUAGCGAUCUCCAAGCGUUCAUUAUCGAUCAAACGGUCAAGAGGGUGUCCUGUAGCUUUUUCGACAAGCCAUGUGCUCCGCUAGCUUUCUGUUCUUCUUUUCAGUCGUGUAAUGGCUAUAAAGCCACCCAUUCCCCUCUUUCUAAGGCAUGUAAUAGAAUUAUUGGGUGUAAAUCCUAGCCGCCAGUGGCUGCUACUACUUUCCCCUUCGUUCUGCAAUGAAAACCCUAGCUAAAUUCGCCUUGAUCAUGUCUGAAUUUCACUAGUUCGUGCCUAAAUUCAGUAUAGUGGGACUCUGUUCCUGACAAUUGGUAUCAGAGGCCAGUCUUUCCUCGGCGGCGGUAGGUGAUUGGGGCAGCGUAGAGGUUGGCUUCUGCUGUAAAAUCUCUCUUCGAGCUCUGAUCGGACGGCGGAGGCAGCAGGCGGCGGCCGGAGUGGCAGCGUUCGGGUGCAGUUGGAGGAACAGUAUGGUUGCCCGGGAGUAAUUCUCCGGCGGUAAAAUUCCAGCUCCUGUGAUCUGACCGUGUACCAGCAGAGGCAGGCGCAGGCGGCGGCGUAGGCGGCGGUGACAAGCAAUCCCACCCGCCCAACCCUCUAUGGUGGUGAUUGCAGACGGUGUAAUCAUGACGGGCCAUGCUGAUUCAGGGUCCAUCGCAGAAUUGCAGCUCGAAUCCCUCGAGUUGGACAUCAAGGCACUGCAGCGGGACCGAGAGGAGGAUCGCAAGGAGUUCCAACAGUUCCAGGCGAUAGUUAACAGGAAUUUUGCUACGAUGCAGAAGAAUUUUGAUAAGAUCCAAGACAACUUCCGACGCUUGUUAUUAGAGUCUGAGCCAGCUCAAGAGGAGGGUAUGGAAGGACAGGGCAGUGUGCAAAUGAAGGACAACCAGGUCAAUUCUCCACGAGUGGCUCCAGGUCGACCAAAGCAACUGCAAGCACCUACUCCUCCUUCUAUGGCAAUGCCUGAAAAAGGAGCACCUUUGCCAAUUGGUACAGCUGUUUUGCGUGAUCAAGCAGGUAGGGAACUGAACAUGGAUGGGACUCCUAAAGUUCCUUACAGACAUCCAAACUAUGGACAGAACAAGGAAAAAGAACACUUUCAGAGAGAUAUAGUUCAAUCAGAGGAAGUGCAAGAAGAUGAUGGGGCUGAGCAUUAUUACAGAAAAAGGAAUGUUCUUACUGUCAAGCCUGCUAAAUUAAACAUCUCUGAGUUUGAGGGACAAGAUCCUGAAUCAUGGAUUCAGAAUUUGGAGCAAUAUUUUGCUGCUGCAAGAACUCCAAUUGAGCAUAGGACUGAAGUGGCCAUUUCUUAUCUCAAGGGUCCGGCAAUUCAGUGGUGGAGGGGUACUGGAUAUGCCUCUAGUAAUGUUCCAUGGCAUAAGUUCUGCUCAUGCUUGUCUGACAGGUUUUCUCUAGAUUCAGCUUGUGACAUUGUGAGCUCCUUUCAUGCAGUUCAGCAGACAACUACAGUCUCUGCUUAUGUAGAGCAAUUUGAACAGCUAAUGAAUGUUAUGAGAAGGGAAAAUCCUGCAAUUCCAGAUGAUUAUUAUGUUUCUAGUUUUGUGUCAGGGCUGAGCACAUAUAUUAAGAGCCAUGUGGAAUGUUUCAGACCCAAGGACAUGCAAACUGCAAUAUGGUAUGCUAGGAGAAUGGAAAAAUCCCAGUCCCCCAAUAUGGUUGUGCAAACCAGACUAUAUGUUCCUCAACCAAGAAGACAGGUCCUAUUUGAACAACCCAAGCAAGCACCCACAUCUACAGUUCCUAAUAGAAAUACUGUGAUUCAACAGGCUAAGCAAAAUCAGGUCUGCUACAAGUGUAGAGAACCAUGGGUGCCUGGCCAUAGACAGGUCUGUAAGAUGAGUCAGAAAGCACAAAUUCAGGCAUUGCAGGCUCAGGGCAGUGACAAUGUGGAAACAAUUUAUGUGACUGACUUUGAGGAUCCUGACUUGGAGAAUUCUGAACCCCUUCCUGAGGACACAAUGUUGCAGGUGUCAAUGCAUGCUGCCAUGGGCAUUGGAGCUGCUAAAAACACUUUUAUUCUAACAGUGAAGGUGGGCAACACCACUGCUACUGCACUAGUAGACAGUGGUAGCACCUCUACAUUUGUUUCUCCUGAGAUGGCUGCUUAAUUGCCUGUUCCAACUGCUCCUAAUCCCAAGAUAAAAGUGGUGGUUGCAAGUGGAGGAGUGUUGUGGAGUGAAUUUACAGUUAAGGACUGCCCUUAUGAAAUUCAGGGCCACAAGUUUUCUGAUGCCUUUAGGGUCUUAAAAUUAAAAGGAUAUGAUAUGAUAUUAGGGGUGGAUUGGUUGAAAAAGUAUAGUCCCAUUCAAAUGGAUUUCAUUAAAAUAGAAAUGAGAGUCUCAACAAAGAGUGGCCAGUUUAUUUCUUUUGUGGAUGAGACCAUACCACUGGCUGAUAUAACAGAAGCUACUGAAAAUCCUGAUAAGUUAAUGGAGCAAGCUGUCUGUGGUUUCUUUCUGUUUACUUCUUCUGGGUGUGAAGUAGUAGCUGCAGCCCAGGAAAUUCCUUCAGAGUUGUUGCCUUUAUUGGAAGAUUAUGCACAAGUCUUUCAAGAACCUCAGGGACUGCCACCUAGCAGACCUUGUGACCACAGAAUUCCACUAAUUGAAGGAGCUAAAGUGGUUAAUCAGAGGCCUUAUAGAGUUCCUCAUCAUCAGAAGGAAAUUUUGGAGAAAAUCAUAUUGGAAUUGUUGAAAAAGGGCAUAAUAAGGCCUAGUACCAGUCCCUUUUCGUCCCCAGUAUUGUUGGUCAAGAAAAAAGAUGGGUCCUGGAGGCUGUGCACAGAUUACAGAAAACUGAAUGCAAUCACUGUAAAAAACAAAUAUCCAAUACCAGUAAUUGAGGAUUUGUUGGAUCAACUAAAAGGAGCUAAGUAUUUCUCUAAAAUUGAUCUGAGAAAUGGGUAUCACCAGAUCAGAAUGGCUGAGGAGGAUAUUUAUAAAACAACAUUUUCCACUCAUAUGGGCUUGUUUGAGUAUUUAGUAAUGUCCUUUGGACUUACUAAUGGGCCUCCUUCUUUUCAAGCAUUAAUGAAUUUAUUGUUUGGUCUCUUGAAGUUUGUAGUGGUGUUCUUUGAUGAUAUAUUAGUGUACGGUUUUUCUUUGGAAGAGCACAAAGUUCACCUGGCAAAAAUAUUUGAUAUUCUGCAAGCUAACAAGUUAUAUGCUAGAAUGGAGAAGUGUUCUUUUGGCCAACAGGAAGUUGAGUAUUUGGGCCACAUAAUUAACUCAGAGGGAGUGUCUACUGACCCUUCAAAAAUCAGAGCUAUCCAGGAGUGGCCCACUCCCACUACUGUCACUGAACUGAGAAGUUUCUUGGGGUUAAGUGGCUACUACAGGAGAUUUAUUCAAGGGUAUGGCAUAAUUUGUAGGCCUCUCUUUGAUUGCUUAAAGAAGGAUUCUUUCUCUUGGAAUGAUAAGCAAACAGAAGCCUUCAUAGCUCUGAAACAGAAGCUGACUAAUGCACCUGUACUGGCACUACCUGAUUUCACUAAGCCCUUUAUACUAGAAGCUGAUGCUUGUGGCUAUGGUCUAGGAGCUGUGCUGAUGCAGGAAGGGAGGCCCAUUUCUUAUUUCAUCAAGAGUAUUAGUCCUAAGGCAGCCGCUAUGUCCACUUAUGAUAAAGAGGCCCUUGCCAUAAUUGAAGCAAUGAAGAAAUGGAGGCACUAUUUCUUGGCAACUGCACUGGUCAUUAGAACUGACCAAGAAAGUCUGAAAUACAUUCAGGAGCAGAAGAUCACUGAAGGAAUUCAACACAAAUUACUGUUGAAGUUGUUAGAAUACAAUUUCACUGUUGAAUAUAAGAAAGGGAAGGAGAACCGAGUUGCUGAUGCUCUUUCAAGAGUGAAGUAUGUGGUAUCUGCUCUCACUGCUAGUGCUGCUACUCCAACUUGGGUACAAGAAGUGGUAAAGAGCUAUAGUCAGGAUAGCAGAGUACAGGAACUGAUUGCUGAAUGUAUUGUAGCUGCUCCUAGCACUACUGCUUACUCUUACAAAAAUGGCAUCCUGAGAUUUAACAACAAAGUGGUUGUGGGAACAGCUACAUCCUUGAGGCAGGGUAUUCUUAAGACUUUUCACAAUUCUGAGUUAGGUGGUCACUCAGGGGAGAGAGCUACAUACCACAGGGUGAAAUUGGUAUUUCAUUGGCAAGGAAUGAAACAGGAUUUUAUUGCUUUUGUUAAGGCUUGCCCUGUCUGCCAGUUGAACAAAGCAGAACACUCUCCUUACCCUGGCCUCCUAGAACCCUUGCAUGUACCUGACUUUGCUUGGGCCCACAUAAGCAUGGAUUUUGUGGAGGGAUUGCCAACUUCUGAGCACAAGAAUUUAAUUAUGGUGGUGGUUGAUAGGUUUACAAAAUAUUCUCAUUUUGUAGCUAUGCAGCACCCUAUAACAGUGCAAACAGUGGCUAGAGCUUUCCCUGAUAAUAUCUUUAAAUUGCAUGGCAUGCCCUUGGUCAUAGUAAGUGACAGGGACCCGAUCUUUACUAGUCACUUGUGGCAGCAGCUAUUCAAAUCACUGAAGAUCAAGUUGCACAUGAGCACUAGUUACCAUCCCCAAUCUGAUGGCCAGACUGAAAGGGUGAACCAGUGUCUUGAGAAUUAUUUGAGAUGCAUGUGUUUUCAGCAACCGAGGAAAUGGCAUAGUUGGCUAGCUUUAGCUGAGUGGUGGUACAACACUUCAUUCCACACUGCUUUGCAAAUGACAUCAUUCCAAGCCCUCUAUGGCUUCCCACCCCCAAUGGUGGCAGAAUCAGCUCUGCCAGAUUCUAUUUGUGAAGAUAGUGAUAACUUGCUUCAGGACAGGGAAGUGGCAUUGGAGGUAAUUAAACAUAAUCUCCUGAAAGCUCAAGAGAGGAUGAAGUAUUAUGCUGAUAAGAAGAGAAAGGAAAGGGAAUUCUCUGUGGGAGACAUGGUUUAUCUCAAGCUACAGCCGUACAGGCAUACUUCACUGAGUUUACACAGGCAUCUGAAGCUUCACUCCAAAUUUUAUGGCCCCUUUAGAGUGUUGGAGAGAAUUGGUCAUCAUGCAUACAAGCUACUGUUACCAGAGGGUUGUAUGCUGCACAACACCUUCCAUGUCAGCCAAUUGAAGAAGCAUAUUGGCCCUAGUGUUGUGCCCUCUCGUCACCUCCCACUUGUGGGUCCUGAUGGUAUUAUUAAGGUGGAACCGGAAGCAAUACUAGAAAGGACACUCAUUCCUCGUCCUCAAGGCAAGAUCAGCAUUCCCGUGGUCAGAUGGUUGGUGAAAUGGGUGAAUCUGCCCGUGGAAGAGGCAACAUGGGAGGAUUCGGCUUUCAUUCAGAAAGUUUUUCCUUCUUUUCGUGCUUGAGGGCAAGCACGAGCUCAACCGGGGGGUAUUGUCAGGCCCAGCCUUGAUCAUCCCCUGUUUCCAGCUUGCCAGAAGUGUUUUGGUCCGUCGAUCGUCAAUCUAACGGCUCAGCUGCCUCCGUACCGGUUCGCCAGCUGUAGCGAUCUCCAAGCGUUCAUUAUCGAUCAAACGGUCAAGAGGGUGUCAUGUAGCUUUUCCGACAAGCCAUGUGCUCUGCUAGCUUUCUGUUCUUCUUUUCAGUCGUGUAAUGGCUAUAAAGCCACCCAUUCCCCUCUUUCUAAGGCAUGUAAUAGAAUUAUUGGGUGUAAACCCUAGUCGCCAGUGGCGUGCUACUACUUUCCCUUUCGUUCUGCAAUGAAAACCCUAGCUAAAUUCGCCUUGAUCUUGUCUGAAUUUCACUAGUUCAUGCCUAAAUUCAGUAUAGUGGGACUCUGUUCCUGACAAGCACCAGCACCGGCGAGCUCCUGUCAGCUGCAUCAUCGCCUCGUUAUCUCUACUAGACUACGUAGCACUUUUGUCACGGAAGGUGUUCAGGUCCAGGAGGAAGAAAGCGUUCUGUUACUAGGGGGAAAAUGCAGUGGUAGUUCCGUAGCUAGCUAGCUAGAAUAUCUUAGAAUCGAGUUGGAAUUUGGCAGUUUUUCACAUGAUUCAUCUGUGUAUUAGGUCCAUGAUUUUGUACGAAAUUCCAAACCUUAUAUACUAUCGGUUAUUUGGGAAUUUUCGCCUUUUGGUGCUCGGGCUACAAGUUUCAGUGAUUCAAAAGUAUCCACAGUACCAUACGGACGUAUACCUCAUGUGUGCAAAUUUUCAUGAUGAAAUACAUUAGCGAGCUACACAAAAAAGUUCUGAACAGUGUGUACUGUUCACUAUAUAAAAACCAAAGAUUUUCACUUUUUUGUGUAGCUCGUAAAUAAUGUAUUUUCUCAUGAAAUUUUACAGACAUGUCUCUGUAUGUUUGGAAAAAAAAUUCAUAUUUUUUUUAAACUUUAAAAUGUGAUUUUAUGAAACUUUGCACUCAUGGUUUCCUUGUUAACGAAGUUCAUGCUCACAAAACAUACCCCACUCAAGCCUCAAGAUUAAAAACAGCCCGUGUCUAAUACUCCAUCUAAUUUGUCUUGCAUACAUGAUUAACAUGAUUUCAACGACAAUUAUUUUGUGUUUAUUACUCCCUCUGUCGCGUAGUGAUCUAAACGCUCUUAUAUUUCUUUUCGGAGGAAGUACAUGACUAAGCACAAUCUGGCAAAAAAAGGUGUAGCAAAUUUACCAUCCUACAUGACUUCAUCACCAAUAUAUCAUGAGCAUACAGGACUCGAACGACAGGCUAAGCCAGUAGUGAAACUUAUUUUCGUAUUUUGUACCAAGAGAUAUUUUUAACACACUGGAAUUUGCUACUGUACAGAUGAACAUCCAGGUUUAAAUAAAGAUACAAGGUUAUAAUACAGGCAAAGUUAUUGUAUGGGUGAAACAGAAACACGAAGGAAGGGCUUGUAUAAACAGAAUUUGAUCUGGAAAAAGUGAAACAUCUAG